This 72683-nucleotide long non-coding RNA is filed under the name Ananas comosus (pineapple). RNAcentral describes it as "long non-coding RNA (ACOM_LNC023382)". Lineage: Eukaryota; Viridiplantae; Streptophyta; Magnoliopsida; Poales; Bromeliaceae. The record is from RNAcentral.
GGUUAACCCUUUUGGUUAACAAUCACUCACUGACACUAUCCCAAAUAUCGGGGAGACGCAACCUGCACCCGACGGGACUGUCAACUGGGGGAGACGCAACCUCCUGGUCCAGUAAAGAUGACUACUCCGGAGCUCAUCGUCCAAGGGGGAGCGACCCCACUUGAACCAAACAAAUGUGAGUAUGAUCUGAUCCCCCUUUUAGAGGAUUCAACUGACAAACACUGUCACACUUUACUCUAACUAGUUCUUUAUACUAGUUUCACAAUUCCAUCUUUCGAUGCUAACCAAAUCUCUAGUUGAAUGUCACCAAGUUUACUAUUGCUAUAGUCCAUACCUUCAUAGGGUUCCAUGUUCACACUCUAAGUUCACAUUUUCUCAACAUUGAUAAACAUUCACAUAUUCAAAUAUCACUUUCAUAAUAUCACUACCCUGUGAUGCAUGAAUACAAGUAAUAUGCUCAAUGGAAAACCAUAGACAUAAAAGGUGAUUCAAAGACUUCGGAUAGCACCACCCACCUGUAGUGGUGUCAAUCAACAGAGAUCAAUGUCUCGGAGUGCGUCGACAACUAGUACUCGCGACUCAGUGCCAAUCGAACUAGAACGGUCUCUACCGUAAUUAGCGAGCGCGUCGACCUGUCGAAAAGUCAAUUUAGACUUUCGAGCAUGUUUAACUUUCAUGUAUAAAGGAUUAAAAGAGAUUAAACUGACAUCAUAGUCAUUUUUAGCAAAACUUGCAUUUCCAGUCCAAUUAAUCUCAAAUCAUAAUAUCAAUUUAACCCUCACUAAUUCGCUUCAGUUCUGAUCAGCAACCAAUCUCUAUGCUGAAUUAUUUGCUGAAAUCUGCUCCGAUGCUCUCAUUUCAGCACAUGAGAAUCAGUUUCUUUUUAUGAUUCCAUUAACCACUACAUAUCCUAGCUUAAUUCCUUUACAGCUAUAAUUAAUUCUAAGCUAAGGGGUAAGUUAUUUACCUCAAUUUAGAGCUCCUCCCGACUUGUUUUCAGCUUUUACUAAAAUCUGUCUCAUGCUGAAAUUUUGCGUAGUGCUGAAAUUCCAGCACCACACCCUCUCCUUUACAGCUUACUACAAGUAUGAAACAAAGACUUGUUUUGUUCACACUCCUUUAAAGUAAUUCUAGACCGCUUAACUCAGGAAAUAAGUAUCCAUCUCACCUAAAUUCCAAGCUCCAAAUUCGUUGCAGCUUGAAUUACCAAAGAAGCUCCACAGCAGGAAUCUCUAAGGCUGAAAUUCUGCACUAUGUGCAGAAUUUCAGCACUACUUCUUCUCCUUGUGCAGCCCCCUACAAGCAUAUAGCAACUAGUUUUACUUCUACAAAUACAUCAAUUGUUCCCUUUAAACCCAUUCUACAAUAAUUCCUAACAAUUUAAUCAGGAAUUGAUCAACAAUUUACCUUACCUUGAUUUAGUUACUUCUUCAAUUCUAUUCAGCUUUUACUAUCUCAAAAGCCUCAAAUCUCCAUUUGCAAUCUAAAAUUUCAGCAGCAAUGAAUCCUUUUAUGGAUCAAUUCUCUUUCAGCUCCAAUCUGAAAUUUCAGCAAGAAACUCUUAAUUGGAUCCAUUCUAAAGUAAGUACUUUGAUUGUAAUCCACUAUAGAAUGAACUUACAUUAAUUUGAUGCUGAAAUAGUUUGCUCACUGCAUCAAAUAAUCCUCCCCUUCAUUUCGGCAACACCAUCCACACCAAUCCAUCAAGCUGCCAGCACCAAAAGUUCAUAUAAACAUCUUUUCCUAGUUAACUUUUCUAAGCAUAAAUACUAAUCAAGAUUACCUUGAUUAGAUGUUGUUUCAGAUGAUUUAGCAACUCCAAUUAGCUCUUCUCUGCUGAAACCUCCAACUUGAAGGUUUAAUUCAGCUUGCUUCCAGGACAGCAUGCACUAGCAGUAAGGACUCCCAAUUUAGAUCACUUCGAAGGCAAUUAACUCAACUUAAAAUUAAGUAUUAAUCAACCUACCUUAAUUAGAGACCUUCCCCAGGUUACUUUCAGCUUUGAAGGCCUUCUCUGCUGCUCGAACAGCACCAACAAUUUCAGCUUUGCAUUCUUCAGCUGUAGCCCCAACUCGGCAGCUCCACAAGCUUAAUUUAGAUGCUCUAGUCAAGUGGUUCAGCAAUUCCAACAACAGAAAUUCCUGUCUGCAUCAGAUUUUCUUCUCAGCUCACAACCCUCCAAGCUGCCAACUCCAAUAUCCCCUCAACCCUCUCUUUACGUAGAGAGAAAAGGGAUAAGAAAAGAGAUAAAGAAGAGAGGGAAAUGAGAAUUCUGCUUUAGACAGGUGUAAUUCCACUAGGGUGAGAUGAUAAGUCCAGAAAAUACAGCUUAGCCCCUGAAAUUUGCAAAAGUGCAUUGCAACCUGCAGAUUUACAUUUCAGUCCCUGAAGGUUACAAUUCAGUCCAGCAGUCUCGCAAUUUAGUCCCUGCACUAACUAAAAUCUGGCAGCAGUUACUUUAAAGCCUAUUUCACUUAUCCAACUUGCUUCGAACACCUAUUAUCACUUUCAAAUUAUGCCAAAUGAACUUCCCAAGCUACCAAAUUAAUUUGAUAACAUCUAUUUCUCAGAUUUGCAUCAAUUUGAUCAUUUUGGAUCCAAUUAACUAGAAUUUCAGCACUCAAGUAACAAUGGCAAUUGGAGUUCUUUGUCACUUCAAUUCCAUUCGAGCCUACUCAUACACUUCCAAAACGUGUCAAUUGAUGUUCUCAAGCUUCUAAUUAAGUUUAGAAACCCUUAAUUUCCAUUUUAGCAUUAUUGUGAUCACUUUAAUCACAAUUAGCUUCUAAUCAAAUUUUCAAUCUAUUACAUUAGUAGUAAUGGACACUUCCUUACUUUCGCAUGAUUUGGGUAUUGGUUAGUUGAGCGCGGUUGCAAUAGCGUCGGUUUUAUUAACUUAUGCUUUAUGAUAUUGUAGUGACGUUGCCGACUACACGCUCCAAGUCUGUUGGAGCGGACAACAUGGCAACUUUUGAGGAAGCAGAGACAUCCGCUACCUCCGGAUCCAGCGAGAUCCGUGAGUUAAGGAGCCAGCUUGCGGCCUCACUGACUUUGUCAUCCAGCAGGUGGCGGCAGCUCGGCAACAGACUGAUGCGGCACGCCGGCAGAAGGCACGGAUGAAGCGGCUCGAGGAUCUUCUACUACAGCAGACGGCUGUCAGGGAGGCUCAGGCCUCUACACCACCCAUACCAGUGGAGGCGGUUGCACCCAGGGGGUCGUCCCCUGCGCUCGACACUUCGCGGAUGACACCUGUGGUAGCACCUCAGGAGGAGGUUAUUUCGGCAGCACCAGCUCAAGUGCCUUUGGCAGGGGCAGUUUUCCCCGUGAUGGUUGAGGGAGAAGAGCGGGAGCGGCUCAUGGAUCGCCUCAACGAGUUCAGGAGGUAUAGCCCCAAGAUCUUCGAUGGAGAGAAAGCUGGCCACUGGAUCGUAGAGAAGUGGUUUAUGCAUAUGGAGAAGCUUUUUCGCGACGCGUUCAUGGAGGAGAGAGACAGAGUUUGGCUCACUACUCACCAUUUGGACGGCGAGGCCUAUAGUUGAUGGUUGGGUACCCAGGAUAAUCCCUACACCGAGCUUGUGGCGAUUUCGUGGAAGAGGUUCAAGGAACUUCUGCUGGAGCACUACUUCCCCGACAGUGUCAAGAGGAAGAUGGAGCAGGAUCUACGCGGUAUGCGCCAGGAGGACCGGACUGUGGCCGAGUACGAGAGGGAGUUCUCUCAGCUUUUGCACUGUGUGCCUUUUGUUGUGCGAGACGACGAGGACAAGGCACGUAUCUUCGAGUGAGAACUUCGACUGUCGGUCUCUCGGUUGGUGCAAUCCUCCAACCUUCAGACUUACCGAGACGUGGUAAACCGUGCGCUAAUCUUGGAGAGCGGCACGACGGAUUUGCAGGAGCGUCGAGAAGGCUUGGACAAAGGAAAGGGCAAGAGGCCUGCGGCUGAGGGUGCGAGUCAGACGCACUCACGGAGGCCACCAAGGCAUCCCAGGAGCAGGAGCCAGUCGCGAGGACGUGGCUCGUCUGCACUGCAUGGAUGAUUUGAGCGUCGCCAGGCUCCGAGCUGCGUGAUCUGCGGUGGUCGUCAUUACACACGGUAGUGCUCACAGAGUCGGGGCAUGUGCUACUUAUGUGGCCAGGAGGGUCACUUCCAGUCGGAUUGCCCGAGGGGUUCAGUACCAGCACUAUCUUCAGUAUCGGCAUCAGCUUUACCGGGUCCCAGCCAGGGGACACUUUCUGCUCAUUACCAGGCCGGGCGGCCACCUGUCCUGAGACAAAUGGAGGGGUCACGACAGGCCCCGAGUGGGCGCAUGUAUGUGGCCCAGGCCGCAGAGGCGGCAGCUGCCGAGUUUGUGGCUAUAGGUAUCUGUUGUUUUGUGGCAUUCGAGUUGUGCAUUGUUUGAUACUGGUGCUUCGCAUCCAUCCUUUGAUCAGCUAUUUGCCGAGUUGCAUGGCAUUCCGUUAGUUCGCUGUUUGCGAUGACUAUUAGCACCUCUCGAGCUAGGCAGUUGAUUUGCAGGUUUGUGGGUAGCAUGUUUUGCUAUGCUUUAUGGAUCUCACGAUGAUUGCAUUAGUUGCAUCCCUCGAUCGGCUGUUCGCCGGAUAGGGCUUGGGGACGACGCGUGCCUGGACCACUUGUGGAGCCUGGGCCCUUUGGGCAGGCACAGACAGCUGUGAGUGACAGCGGCUCGGUACUUAUGGGUAGGACAGAGUUUUGGUCAGGACGGUAGUCCGAGCUUAGACCUGGGAGCGUGGAAUGCCACGUGUUGGAUCUUGAGAUCGAGGAUACACCGAGUGUGUAGGGACCCAACCCGAGGAGUUGCUAGCAUUGAUCCUUUUUUAUGCAUGUGGGAUGAUCGGUUGAUCGAGUGUGUUGUUUUGAACACCCUGCCUUGUAAAAGGGUUUUGUGCGCCAACAAAUGGAUUGGCCUUACUUGGUGUGGAGUUCUGUGGGGUACCUUUUACCUUUAGUCUUGCGAGCUGACUUGACUCACCUUGGGAGUUUGUGCACGAAAUAGUGCCUAUUAAGAAUUUAGUCCGCCGAGGGUGACGAUUACCUCCUUACCUAAAAUUGGGUAAGUGUCAGAGAGGAUUUGGGGCCUAUUUGGCCGGUAGCUUGUGAUGAUCGAGAAUCCUCGAAAUGACGGAUGUCUUUUGAGUUGUCGUUGUAUCUCCCGAUUGAGUCUCAAAUCGUGAGCUCGUUUGGCGGGGAGGUUUUUGUAUCUAGUGUUUCGCUUCGUGGAGAAGUGCCCUCACUUGUCGUGGGACCAGUUGGGACGUUUCGACUGUAUGUCGACCAUCGUGAUCUAAAUUGAACCAUGAUCGGGUGUUUGGACCGUUGUAGAGGCUCAUUGACCUUGUCAAAUGUUCUUGAGUUGUAGGUGUACUCGUUGAGAUUGUAAUGAAAUCUGAGUAGUACCUUUUCAUGUUGGAGUUUAAGGCUGUACCUCAAACGGAAUUCUGAUGCUGGGCUAGGACACCACAAAGAUUAUUGUGAUGUUGUCUCAGCCUGUAGUACUCCACCAGUGUUAGGGACUUGCUGAAUGAUGAUUCCAAGCCUUUGGAUGGAUUUGUGGAAUCGGUCGCUGAUGGCCAGGAGUAUCCUGUUGAUGAUUGGCGAAGGUUGACGGCGAAGGCAGAUUGAUGUGAUCGAAAUGUGGAACUCUCACUGCUGGAUUGAGCGGUUGGAGAAUUCGAGAGGAAGAUUACCAAGUUGCUAUCUUCCCUUAUCUAGAUCAUGUACAAGGAAUUAAGUUCUUUGGGAUAGAACUGCAUACAAGGGCUUAUGGACUUGGCGUUUGGUUGAUAGUCACAUCUUGAUGACAUUGAUAGAGCGCUAUUAUUGAAUUAUGGAUUGAUCCCCCUCUAUCACUUGAGUUGAACUCGGUGACUACGGACACCUAGAGCAUCCGAUGCUAAGGGAAGCAUUGAGAUUGAGAAUUUUGAGUGGUUAUGUUAUUAGACCUUCUAUCGUAGAUAAGCCCCUGGCUUAGGCUUACAAGAGUUUACUUGGGCUUCGAGAAGAGACUAAGGUGAUGACCUUAGUGGAAUGGUGAAGCUUCUGAGCAUGGGUUCACGACAAUAUGUAUGGAAAUGGAGUUGAGAGUAACCCCCUAGUGGUGAAUUGAGAUUGAUGUGGAGGCAUUGUAGUGCAAUGUCGAUUGAUGAACCAAGUAAUCACCCUUGGUGAGCGAAUUGGGAUGAUUCGUCGGUUCUCGUUCUUUUCGGCAGGGAUGUUACCAUGGAUAGUGAUCGUAGAACUGCUUCAUGCUAAUCAAGAUUGGAUGAAUGGUGGGAUGUUGCAAAUAGCAACAAGAUGGAAAAUUUACACCAUACUUAACCUUGGAAUAGGAUUGCACUCAGUGGUGCAAUCUAGUGAUGAGAUUUGAUCAUGGAUUUGAGUGAUCGUCGUUGGGAUUGAGUCGACGACGGGAUGUGGCAUCGCCUCCCUUUGGUGAGUGUUAAUCAGUUGAGUACCCUGGUAUGGUUUUGAUGGAUUGGGUAACGGGUGUAACCCCAAGAUUUUUCUAUGGAUGGCAUUGUUGAAUCCGCCUCAGAAGGAUAUCUGAUGGAAUUCCAUAUAUAAGAGUAAGUCAAAGCAGAGCUAGGCUUUGCCCUCGACUUGGAUGAGGAAAGUGAGAUCUAGACUUUAGCCUUCGGGAGCACGUGGGUUCGUGAGAACCAACUGAAGGGCUUGUCGAGCAAGCGCGGAUUUGAGAUAGAGUUCCUGGUUGCAGACCAUGUUUCCCUGAAGGUCUCACCGACCAGAGGGAUCAGGAGAUUCGGGAUUCGGGGAAAGUUGAGCCCCUGGUUUAUUGGACCGUAUGAGAUCUUGGAGCGUGUGGGCCUGGUAGCGUAUCGACUUGCUCUACCACCGAACUUAUCGGGCAUACAUGACAUCUUCCAUGUAUCGGUCCUUCGGAAGUGCAUCUUCGACCCGGCUCAUGUAUUGGAUGCUACACCUAUAGAGCUGCGGGAUGAUUUGACUUUUGAGGAGCAACCCGUGAGGAUCUUGGCUCGCGAAGUGCGGAAGCUGCGGAAUCGGAAUUUUUCAUAUGUGAAGGUUCUUUGGAGCAACCACGAGGAGCGAGAGGCCACCUUAAUCGAGAGGAGCUAGUAUAUCAGGCAUUUAAAAGCUCGCCCUUCGCGGCGACCAUGUCGGCGGCACGGGCGAGGAAAAUGAUAAAAGGCGGUUGUGAAGCCUAUUUGGCGACAAUGGUAGAAGCCCGGAAGGAGCGCCCGGAACAUAGUGGUAUUCGGGUGGCAUGUGAGUUUUCGGAUGUAUUUCCAGCGGAGUUACCGGGUUUGCCACUGGACCGGGAGAUCGAGUUCGUUAUUGACUUGGUGCCCGGGGCGGCUCCAAUUUCGAAGGCCCCGCAUAGAAUGGCACCGGCGGAGCUAAAGGAGCUCAAGACACAGUUGCAAGACUUGCUCGACAAAGGCUUUGUGAGGCCGAGCGCGUCACCCUGGGGAGCUCCGGUGCUAUUCGUUAAGAAGAAGGACGGCACAUUUCGACUCUACGUGGACCCUGGGGAGCUCCGGUGCUAUUCGUUAAGAAGAAGGACGGCACAUUUCGACUCUACGUGGAUUACCGUGAGUUGAACAAGGUUACAGUGAAGAAUAAGUACCCGUUGCCGAGGAUUGAUGACUUAUUCGAUCAGUUGCAAGGGUCAAGGGUAUAUUCAAAGAUUGAUCUUCAAUCGGGGUAUCAUCAGUUGAAGAUACGGCCCGAGAAUGUACAUAAACGGCUUACCGUACGCGGUAUGGCCAUUAUGAGUUUACGGUGAUGCCGUUUGGGCUUACUAACGCCGCCGCGGCAUUCAUGGACUUAAUGAAUAGAGUCUUCCGUCCGCUAUUAGACCGGUGCGUCGUGGUAUUCAUUGACGACGUAUUGGUAUAUUCUCGGACCGAGAAGGAACACGAGGAGCAUUUGAGGAUCGUGUUGGAAAUACUCCGAAAAGAGAAGUUAUAUGCCAAGUUGAAGAAAUGCGACUUUUGGCUAUCGGAGGUCACUUUCCUUUGUCAUGUAAUUUCGGGCGAUGGUAUCUCGGUGGACACGAAGAAAGUUGAGGCAAUUAGAGAUUGGCCUCGCCCGACGAGCGUAUCGGAGGUCCGCAGUUUUCUUAGGCUAGUGGGCUAUUACCGGCGGUUCGUGGAGGGGUUUGCUAAAAUAACUACUCCACUAACACGCCUUACACACAAAGCUGUAAAGUAUGUUUGGAGCCCCGAAUGCGAGCGGAGCUUCAAGGAAUUAAAAGAAAGAUUGACCACGACCCCGGUGCUUGCUCUACCGAUGCCGGGGGAGACAUUUGUGGUGUAUAGUGAUGCUUUCUAUGUUGAACUCGCGUGUGUCUUGAUGCAAAACGGGCGGGUUAUAGCAUAUGCUUCGCGCCAAUUGAAGACGUAUGAGAAAAACUACCCGAUCCACGAUUUGGAGUUAGCGGUGGUUAUUUUUUCGCUAAAAUUAUGGAGGCGUUACCUAUAUGGAGAACAUUGUGAGAUCUACAGGGAUCACAAAAGCCUUAAAUACUUGUUCACCCAAAAGGAGCUAAAUAUGCGGCAGCGGCGGUGGUUAGAAUUGUUAAAGGAUUAUGAUGUUACUAUUCUAUACCACCCCGGGAAAGCAAAUGUGGUGGCCGAUGCACUUAGUAGAAAAUCGGAAAAAAUUUAGCUUCGGCAAUUACACCCCAACCGUUGUUACAAAAGGAGAUGCAACGGCUUGGAUUGGAAGUAGUAACGCCGGGAGUGCCGGCUACACUUGCCCCAUUGGUGGUACAACCGACCUGGUUGGAGAGGAUCAAGGAGUUGCAAGCUUCCGAUGAGUAUCUCCAAAAGGUGCGCAGAGAAGUUGAGAGCGGUAGUGCCGAUGAUUUUGGCAUUGGGACCGACGGCACACUUCGAUUUCGGAACCGUUGGUGUGUGCCUAAGAACAAGGACGUACGCAAAGCAAUUAUGCAAUAGGCGCAUCAAUCUCCUUAUAGUAUACACCCGGGCGGCACCAAAAUGUACCAAGAUUUGAAAUUGCAUUAUUGGUGGCCGGACAUGAAGAAAGACAUUGGGGAGUUUGUUGCGCAAUGUCUUACUUGCCAACAAGUAAAAGCGGAGCGGCGGUUUCCGGCGAGAAAGUUGCAAAGUUUACCUAUACCCGUUUGGAAAUGGAAAAAUAUCACAAUGGACUUCGUGACCGGGUUGCCUCUAUCUCAGGGUGGACAUUAUGUAAUUUGGGUGAUAAGACCGGUUGACGAAGUCGGCACAUUUCCUACCGAUUCAUGUUACUUGGUCGGGGGACAAGUUGGCUGAACUAUAUAUCGACGAGGUUGUGAGACUUCACGGGGUACCAGUUUCUAUUAUAUCAGAUUGGGACCCGAUAUUCACAUCUCAUUUUUGGAGGAGUCUACAGGAGGCCUUAGGCACACGGCUCGACUUUAGCACGACAUUUCAUCCUCAAAGUGAUGGUCAGUCGGAAAAGACGAUACAAAUACUUGAGAAUAUGCUCCGAGCGUGUAUAUUGGACUACAAGGGCAGUUGGCACGAUCAUCUACCAAUGGCGGAGUUCGCGUACAAUAACAGCUACCAAGAGAGUAUCGCGAUGGCACCAUUCGAGGCCCUUUAUGGAAAGAAAUGUCGCUCUCCAAUCCAUUGGAGCGAUGUGGACUAGAGAGCGGCUCUCGGCCCCGAUGUAGUGCGGGAGGCAGAGGAGAAGGUUCGCCUCGCCCGCCAACGACUGACUACGGCGCAUCCCGGCAAAAAAACUAUGCCGAUAAACGGAGAUAAGACAUAGAGUUCGCAGUUGGUGACCACGUCUUUCUAAAAGUAUCGCCGAUGCGGGGAAUUAGACGGUUUGGGCUCCGUGGAAAGUUAAGUCCCCGGUACCUUGCACCGUUUGAGGUAUUGGAGCGGGUCGGCGCGGUGGCAUACAAGAUAGCAUUACUACUGAGGCUUGCGGGAGUACACGACGUGUUCCAUCUAUCGAAUCUCCGCAAGUACAUUCAUGACCCCAAGCAUAUCCUAUCGUUUGAAUCAUCCGAGGUCCAAGAGGACAUGACCUAUGAGGAGUUCCCAGCAUACAUCAUCGAUCGAGAAGUAAAAAAACUACGAAAUCGUGAGAUUCCGUAUGUUAAGAUUCGUUCGUGCAAUCACGAUGAUCGAGAAGCUACCUAGGAGCUCGAGAGCGCAAUGCAAGAGCAUUAUCCUCACCUCUUUACCGAGCUGAAUUGAUGUAUGAGUUUAAGUCUAAAUUAAGUAAGUUUCGCGGACGAAACUAAAUUUGAGGGGUGGAGAAUGUAACAUACCGAAAUCUCGGAAAUUAAAUUCGAAACUUAGUCAAAUUGGCCAAAGUGCGAGGUUGGUAUGCUUCGGAGAGGCCGGAGGCAUCAAAUAAUGAAAAAAUGCAUUACGGGGGACCUUCGAGAGCUUUAGAAAUCAAAAUCUACAAACUGCAGGUUUUGUGCUCUCUGGGACCGGUCCCUGGUGGGAGAGGCCGGUCCUCGAACGAGUAGGCAGCACGAAGGCCGAGAAAUCGGCUAAGUUCUCGAAAACCAGCUCUCGGGAACCGGUCCUUGCGAGGAAAGACCGGUCCCCAGAGACCGGUCCCAUCGAGGGAGACCGGUUGCGUCGCGCGCGGCCUACGCAGUCCGCGGGAGAAGCUCUCGGGGACCGGUCCCAGGUCGGGGAGACCGGUCCCUGAAUGUGAAAAAUGCCCAGUCUGGGCAGUGCACUGGGAAUAAAGUGGAGGGGUCUUGUUGUAAAUGUUACAGCACCUUAUAUACUCAACCCUUCUCCCUUUUCUCAGCCAAAACCCUCACUCCUCUCAUUUCCUCUCCGCUCUCUCUAGAACUCACCUAGGGGUUAAAGAAGAAGAAGAAGAAGAAGAAGCUUGAGCAGGGAUUUUUGGUGGACUUGGUGGGUCUAGAAGCUCUCCAACAAGAGGGAGAUUGCUAGAACUUGUGUAACAAACCAGAUCUUGGUAUAAAAAUAAAAAUAAAUAAAAAUAGUGUGAGAUACUAUUUUUAUUGGAUUUAGAAAAGUAAAACAUAAGUCAGAAGUGACUUGUGCUGAAAUCGGAAUGAAAACAGAAGAUUUAGAAUUUUCUGUUGGAAACAGGACAGAUAAAUUAGCAGAAAAUGCAUAGUGUCAAAAAAUUAUAAAAACUAGAGGAUAAGUCUGGAUUAUUUUUAUGAGGCUAGAUUUAAAGUUUCAUGUAAUUCUGACACCCGGAAGGUGGAAAAUAAAAUCCGACAACUAUCUGAUAAAGAUUACAGUUCGGUACAGUUUUCGGUGACCAAACGGGGUCGAAACUGAAAUAUUAAAAUUUCUUUGGACUCGUUAAGUAAAACCGAACAUGACUGUCAAAUUUGAGCUCAAACGGAUAUUCAGGGAGCUCCGGCGAAAGAUAUUAGAUUUCGAGCUGACCGGAGAUAAAUAGUGUAUUGUUGAGGGGUCGAAACUGAAAUAUUAAAAUUUCUUUGGACUCGUUAAGUAAAACCGAACAUGACUGUCAAAUUUGAGCUCAAACGGAUAUUUAGGGAGCUCCGGCGAAAGAUAUCAAAUUUCGAGCUGCCCGGAGAUAAAUAGUGUAUUAUUAGGGGGCUUUGUGUAAAAUCUGCACUAGUCUUCUUCUUCUCCUCAACCAUAUGCAGCCACACACACACACACUCACACGCAUACAUGGAGGGAGAGAGAAACCUCCCUUUCUCUCUCUAGAUCUCUCCCAAAAUUGAAGGUUUUGGUGGCGAAGCAAGCUUGGAAGUUGAUCUUCAUUUUCUUCGUCUUCUUCCUCUCCAUUGGAGCUAGCUUGAUAGGUAAGCUUUGAUGCCCUUUAAUGGUAGAAUUGUAGGGCUUCAAUUAUAUGCUCCAAGAAUGGAUUUAGUGGAACUCCUAGAUGCUAAAUAGAGGAUUAAUGCUUAAAUCAUGAAGCUAUAUGGUGAUUUCUUGCAUAGUUGUAACCUAGGGCUCCAAAAUGCAAUUUUUGCAUGUAGAUGGGUUUGAUCUAAAUUGAACCUAUAUAAACCUAAUUGCUAGGUAAAUGAACGCGUUGGCGAAGUCGGUUCGGCGAUUCGUCGAGCCGUUGUAAAGAUAUUAAAGAAACGGAUGUUUAGGCUUCGUUUCUGCCUGGAGGGCCGAGGCGACAUCGUAAAGUCAUGAAACGGAUUUGGAGUAUCGUGGCACAUAACCGAAGACCUAUAAUUUUCGGAGCCACGAUUCGACGCACGGUUGGUGAGUAUUAGCGAAAUCGGGCCGAACCGGACACGGGUGCCACGGGAGGCUGAUUGCAAGUGUCGACAAGCAAUCGGAAAGCGAUUUGAGGUGAGUUGUACUUACCGAAGCGACUAGGUCGCCUGUAUGUCUAAGUAAAGUGAAUUCAUGUUGAUGCAUAUAAAUGCUUGAUGGAUGCAUGUAGUAAAUGCUAAAAGGAAUGCAUACUAAAGAUGUAAUAUAGAAAUGCUAGAAUGCAUGAUGAUGUAAUAUAAAUGCAUGUUAAUUAUCUAAAGUAAGAUACUAAGAGAUUGUACAUGAAGUGACAUAAUGUAAGAAUGCUAAAUAAAUGGAUGAAUGAUGUGGUAUAGAAAUGCUAGAAUAUAUGCAUUGGUUAAUAUUAGUUGAAUGCAUGUCAUGGAAAUGCUAAAUGUAAACAUGGGGCCAAUACUAAGACAUACUUGAUGAUCAUGUUGUAGAGAUACUAAUGUUAAGUAAAGGAUAUGGGCGUGUGGACAUAUAUAUAUGCACAUAGAUCGAGUGGCAUUGAACAUAGUGUUUUGAACAUAGGUUGAACAUGAAUGAUAUGAACCUAGUGUUAGUAAACCUAGGUCGGACAUGAAGGACAUAUGAACCUAGUGUGAAUAUACAUAGGUUGGACAUCAAGUGGCAUUGAACCUAGUAUUAAAGAAUAUAGGUUGGAAUCAUGUGUGGCAUUUAAUCUAGCGUUAAAGAACAUAGGUUGGACAUGAACUUAGUGUUAAAGAAAGUAGUUAAACAAGGUUUAACCCAAAGUGACAUUGUGGCUUGGUAUUAGCGGUAUAUGCAUGAUUAGGUAAAAACCUAUCAUUGGCAUUGAGGCAUAGAGAUAUGGAACAGGUUGGCUGUACCUCAUCAAAUUGAGGAUGGGAUCAUACUCACAUGUAUCGGUUCCGGCUUGUGCGAGGUCGCUCCUCUACAAGCGGUGCACUCCGGAGUAUAGACACCACGGGUGAGAGUGCCCGGCGAAGAUCCCUCGGGUGAUAGUGCCUUGUGCUUUCCCCGGUAGACUGGAUGGAUCCCUCGGGGGCAUUUUCCAAUGCUAAUCUCGGUAGAUGGGACAUGUGAGAUGUGAGCUUGGGUCGAACUUGAUGAACCCCGGAAAAAUUGGGUAAAGGCCAAAGUGAAUAUGUGAAAGUAUGCAUUAUGAGCUAUGGAUUUGGUAUUCCAGUUGAGUGGAUUUAUGGCUGAGGUGCAUGUGGGACGUCCUUCACCUCGAGCCUGGAUGCAUGCGGUAAUCCGCAGAUGAUUGACUCGAGACCGAGUCGGGUGGUUAGCUUGGCUAGGGUAGAGGAAAACCUUAGGAGCAAAUAACCAAUGAUGUAAAGUGACAAAAUGUAUAAAUUAUGGAAAAGCUAUGGAUAGCAUGAUAGAAAGUAAAAUCAUUUAUUUUACUUGUAUAGUUGCAUGGUUUCAUAUUACAUAUCGCGAGGCAUGACAUGUAGUUCAAUAUCGAAUAAAUGUUUAAAUAUCUGUUAUAUGUUAUUGGGCUAACCUGUUGUAGUGCCUCAUUAGACCUAUUGGUUGAGCUUUUCCCUUGGGUGGCCGUACCCACUGGGAACCAUAGAGUUGGUUCUCACCCCAUGUUGUUUUGGGCUGUUAUAGGUUCACACGUGAGCGGCGCGGCGGCGCGAGGCAAGGGCGUAGCUCCGUAGUUAGCGCCCUACUACCGAGACCAGAGAUAGUGGUACCCUGAGUCGGCUACUUAGGGAUGUAAGAAAUGAAAUGAAUAAUAUUGUAAUAAUUUGUAAUAAGCAUGAUUGUAUUUGGAAGUUAAAUGUAAUAUGUAAUUGUGAUGUAAAAUGUAUUUAGUGAAUGUGAAUGCUUGUAAUAACAAGUAAAUUAUAUUUUUGAUACUUCCUUAUGCAAUCUUUGUUUCAAAUGUGUUCCUGGUUGGAACUUCGUACAUUGUAUUGAUUGCGACGUCUUGGACGUACAAGGGAGACUCUGUCCGCGGUACAGGGGAAGCUCUGUCCGUUCGGCGGUCUGUUGGCGUGCCCGAAACCGACCAAAUAGGCGGGCUCUGGGUGUGACAACUUGGGCCAAGGUAAGUUUUUAGCAUGUAAAGCUCUAGGGUUUGGAUUUUAAAGUUAGGUUUUGGAGUUUUGGUCUCUUUAGAGGCUUUAGAAGAGUAGUAGAGCCUUGAACACCAUGAAACUCUAGUUUUCUUCAUGGUGCUCUAAUGGGGGAUUUCUAGGGUGUGCAUUCUAAGCCCUAGAGAUGGUUAGGAUGGUUCUAAAUGAGCUUCUAGAGGUUAAACAAGCUCUCUUUUGCUUGUUUUAGAGAUCAAAACCUAGGGUUUAGCAAUGGGUUUGGUUAGGGCACCAAAUUUAGGGCUUUUACCCUAGGAUUUUUUGAGUACGAAUUGACCUCGUAGAAACCUAAUUGGGACUGUCCUCGACGCGUUGGACAACUCCGCUCGACGUUACGAAAAUGUUUAAGUAUGGUUCAUGUACAAAAGGCCUAAUAUGGCACUAUUUUGGUUAUAGGACGCAGGAUCGGCUUUCGUAAAGUUCCGGAGUCGUCAUAUUCUACACCCACACGACCACUCGAGGUGGGUGGUGCAUUCUAAGGACCUCGAAAAUCCCUUUAUGUCUAAAGUGUCAUGUUUGAACAUAUAUGUAUAUAUUGAGCAUGUUGCAUAGUAGGGUUAAUUGUGAACUUAAUUUUGUAUGGAAUACUUGUAAGAAUGUGAGAAUAAACCCUAUUUAUGCAUGACAAGUGACAAGAACCUAGAAGGUUCGUGAACAAAAGUGACACAUGGACUAAGAUUAAGAGAAUGACAUUGAUGAGUAUAGAACACUUAGAAAACAAGUGUUGCAUUUGGCAUGAGAACGAGAACAUAACACUUAGAAAACAAGUGUGGCAUGAGUCCAAGAAUAUAGUAGUGUAUAUGACACAAGUGAUGAUAAAGAAUGCUUAUGACAUUUUCAACCUUAGAGUUAAGGGUCAUUUGAGUAUGGUCUUCCUUACAAUUAAGGAAUGGAUUGAACUUUGAAUCCUCAAUGUAGGAUUGAUCGUACUCACCUUUAGUCCUUGCUCGAGGGUGGUAGCUCCCCCUCGGGUGAUGUGCUCCGGAGUCGACAUCACUGGGUAGUAGCGGGUAUCUCUCCAGAGGACGGUCCUAUCAGGUUGUAGCGGAUAUCUCCCCGGUUAAUAAGAUUUUGGGUUGGUGAGUUUGCUGAGGGCGAAACCUACGGGUUAGCCAAGAGAUUGGGUAAAGAAAUUAUGAUCCUGCAUUCAUCAUGAGCAUUAAAUCGAGGAUCGCAUUUUAUAUUGUUCAGGCAUAUCAGUUGCAUUUGUUAGUUGGUUACUUUUUUUCUUCUAUUCUAUUAUGCCUUAUUAGACCUAGUGGGAUAGUCGGCGUGGUUGGUUGCCGAACCCACUGGAAACUUUGUUGUAAUUCUCACACCCCUAUUUUCACAGAGCCGGCACCGAGCGAGCCGGCACACGACCGCGGUAAGGGCAUCGCGCCUUAGGUAGAGACCGCCUGAGAUGUUUUAUUUCUUAGUUGCAUACCCUUUUGAUAUAUCAUCUUUUGUAUUUCGAUGAUUAUAGUUGUUAAAUGAAAGGACAUGAAUGAUGUAAAAGAGUUUAUUUAAUAUCAAUAUUAUAUUUUGGAGGAAUGAGAUGUAAAAAGAAAUGAUGCAAAAUUAUAAUUGAUUUCCUAACUGUAGUUAUUUACUUUCACUAUUGGCUAUUGCUUGCCCUCGUGCAAGCCAUUGUGUAUGCUUCCGCUCAUGCAAACUUUAUACUCUAUUGAUACUUGUUGUUGAGCCUUGGGCGGACGGGGGAGGUUCUGUCCGUUCGGCGUCUGUUCGACGCUCUCGAACCGGCCAAAAGGAUCGGGCUUGGGGCGUGACAGAUAAGAUGGUAUCAGGGCGUAAGAGCCAAAAAAGGUGAAAGCAUAGGAUGGACCUAGAGACCCUUAGGAAUGAAAAACCUUAAGGAUCUCGAAAACGUGAGUGAUGCUGAAUAAGUUAUAGCGAAGGCAUGGAUUGGGUUGAUGUAAUUAUGUCUCUAAUGUGGUUAGGGACUAAACUUAAGUUGUUAUUUGUUUUCUUUUCCUUGUGUUGUGAUCGACGGCCGACGACAUGAUGCUUUGGAAUGAAAAUGAAUACACUUAUAUGCUUUCGUCGGAUUGGGUAUAAUCGAGUACGUUGUCUAUGUAACUGACGUGAAUUGCUUCGUUUCAGGAAGCAAUGCCUCAUCGUGGACGACCUAAGCUACCUUGUGGUUGACCGCGGACGAGGUAUAUAGCCGAGGAGUCAAGUACGGCUCCCGUGCAACCCGAACCAGGUGGCGACGGGAAGCUUCGGGAGCAGAUGGCUGCGCUUAUUGGCGUAGUGCGACAGUAGGCGGAAUCCGUUCAGCGCCAGGCGAAAUCCGUUCAGCGCCAACGAGAGCAAAUCCAAAGGCUCCAUGAGGCUUUGGAGCGGCAGCGGGUGGCGGCGGCGGCGCCCGUGGAGGCCGUGCACCCUGCGCCUCCUGUAGUGGUGCUGAGUGCCGCCGAGGGUGUGGCCGCGGCGGCCGUGCCAGUUACGAUGGUGCCGGCUGGAUCGGGGACCUCAAACCUCGAUAGUGCGGCGGAGGCGGCGGAGGAGGCGGAGCGAGAGCACGCGUUGGCGGCUCUCAUUCAGUUUCAGAAGUUCAACCCACCCACCUUCGAAGGGGGAGUGGUGGAACCGGCGGUGGUGGAGUCCCGGAUCGACUCCAUGGAAACACUUUUUGAGGAUCUUAACACCUUGGAGAAGGACAAGGUGCACCUCGCCACACAUUGCCUUGAGAAGAAAGCGAAGGUGUGGUGGAAGCGUGUUAGGCGGGAUCGAUCGCCCGAUCUUCUGCCUAUGUUGUGGGAGGAGUUCCGGAGGGCGGUGUUCGCCAACUACUUCCCCGAUACGGUGAAGCGAAAGUUGCAAGAGAAAUUCCGCAAGUUGAGGCAAGGAGAUCGCUCGGUGACAGACUACGAGCAGGAGUUCUCCCACCUCAUUGACUGCGUCCCGGACGUUGUUAGGGAUGAUCGCGACCGAGCAGACUGGUUCCUACGAGGAUUGCGGCUAGGGAUUCAUAGGGCCGUGCAAAUCCUUAAGCUCACAACCUUUGCGAAGGUCUUUGAUCGGGCUUUGUGGGCGGAGCAUGGUUAUGCCCACGAGCGCGAUGAGCGCUACUCCGCGGCCGAGGCAAAGGAGAAUAGCAAGAAGCGGUCGGCGGGUGGCACCGGAGGCCGACCAAAUGCUAAAAAACCCCCUUGGUAUCCCCGACAGCAGCCGAGGAGUUGGAGGCCAUCCCGUUGUGUUAUUUGCGGUGGUAACCAUCAACCGCCGUCAUAUCCGCAGCGGGAGGGAAAGUGCUUCAAGUGUGGAUAACCUGGGCAUGUGUCACGAGAGUGCCCUAGCUGGGGUUCAUCUGCACCGACCUCGGCAUCAGUUCCUUAUACCCCGAGGCAGCAGGUGGGAUUACCGCCGGCUAUGUCGGCUGGACGCUCGUCUUCAUCGCUUCAGCCGGAGGCAUCGAGGGCACCGAGUGGGCGGGUCUUUGCCACUCAGGUGGAGGAGGAGCCGAUUCCUGUCCCUGACGACAUCGUGGCAGGUAUUAUCUCGAUCAGAGGCACUACAGCAAGAACUUUAUUCGACACUAGUGCAUCACAUUCAUUUAUAGAUGCAUCAUUCGCUAGGACUCAUGGCAUUAAGAUUGUGCAUCAUUAUGACUAUUGGACGGUGAAUUCGGUCGAGCAUACCUUCUAUGUUCACGAAGAGUGUGUAGCGUGUCCAGUGCAGAUAGGUGAUUGGGUCAUGCCGAUUGACCUGUUGGUGUUGAAUCGAAUGUGGGGGUUUGACGUGAUCUUGGGGACCGACUGGCUCUCCAAGUAUUAUGCCGUGAUAGAUUGCGAAAGUAAGGUGAUCACAUUUCGUGAGCCUAAUCGAAAUGAGCUAGUAUAUCAGGCGUCUAAAAGCUCGCUCUUCGCGGCGACCGUGUCGGCGGCACGGGCGAGGAAAAUGAUAAAAGGCGGUUGUGAAGCCUAUUUGGCGACAAUGGUAGAAGCUCGGAAGGAGCGCCGGGGACUUAGUGGUAUUUGGGUAGCAUGUGAGUUUCCGGAUGUAUUUCCGGCGGAGUUACCGGGUUUGCCACCGGACCGGGAGAUCGAGUUCGUUAUUGACUUGGUGCCCGGGGCGGCUCCAAUUUCGAAGGCCCCGUAUAGAAUGGCACUGGCAGAGCUAAAGGAGCUCAAGGCACAGUUGCAAGACUUGCUCGACAAAGACUUUGUGAGGCCGAGUGCGUCACCCUGGGGAGCUCCGAUGCUAUACGUGAAGAAGAAGGACGGCACAUUUCGACUCUGCGUGGAUUACCGCGAGUUGAACAAGGUUACAGUGAAGAAUAAGUACCCGUUGCCGAGGACUGAUGACUUAUUCGAUCAGUUGCAAGGGUCAAGGGUAUAUUCAAAGAUUGAUCUUCAAUCGGGGUAUCAUCAGUUGAAGAUACGGCCCGAGGAUGUGCGUAAGACGGCUUACCGUACGCGGUAUGGCCAUUAUGAGUUCACGGUGAUGCCGUUUAGGCUUACUAACGCCCCAGCGGCAUUCAUGGACUUAAUGAAUAGAGUCUUUCGUCCGCUAUUGGACUGGUGCGUCGUGGUAUUCAUUGACGACGUAUUGGUAUAUUCUCAGACCGAGGAGGAACACGAGGAGCAUUUGAGGACCGUAUUGGAAAUACUCCGAAAAGAGAAGUUAUAUGCCAAGUUGAAGAAAUGCGACUUUUGGCUAUCGGAGGUCACUUUUCUUAGUCAUGUAAUUUCGGGCGAUGGUAUCUCGAUGGACCCGAAGAAAGUUGAGGCAAUUAGAGAUUGGCCUCGCCCGACGAGCGUAUCGAAGGUCCGCAGUUUCCUUGGGCUAGCGGGCUAUUACCGGCGGUUCGUUGAGGGGUUUGCUAAAAUAACUACUCUACUAACACGCCUUACACACAAAGGGGUGAAGUAUGUUUGGAGCCCUGAAUGCGAGCGGAGCUCCGAGGAAUUAAAAGAAAGAUUGACCACAACCCCGGUGCUUGCUCUAUCGAUGCCGGGGGAGACAUUUGUGGUGUAUAGUGAUGCUUCCUAUGUUGGACUCGGGUGUGUCUUGAUGCAAAACGGGCGGGCUAUAGCAUAUGCUUCGCGCCAAUUGAAGACGUAUGAGAAAAACUACCCGAUCCACAAUCUGGAGUUAGCGGCGGUUAUUUUCGCGCUAAAAUUAUGGAGGCAUUACCUAUAUGGGGAACAUUGUGAGAUCUACACGGAUCACAAAAGCCUUAAAUACUUGUUCACCCAAAAGGAGCUAAAUAUGCGGCAGUGGCGGUGGUUAGAAUUGUUGAAGGAUUAUGAUGUUACUAUUCUAUACCACCCCGGGAAAGCAAAUGUUGUGGCCGAUGCACUUAGUAAAAAAUCAGGGAAAAAUUUCGCUUUUGCAAUUACGCCCCAACCGUUGUUACAAAAGGAGAUGCAACGGCUUGGAUUGGAAGUAGUAGCGCCGGGACUGCCGGCUACACUUGCCGCGUUGGUGAUAUAACCGACCUUGUUAGAGAGGAUCAAGGAGUUGCAAGCUUCCAAUGAGUAUCUCCAAAAGGUGCGCGGAGAAGUUUAGAGCGGUAGUGCCGAUGAUUUUGGCACACUUCGAUUUUGAAACCGUUGGUGUGUGCCUAAGAAUAAGGACGUCCGCAAAGCAAUUAUGCAAGAGGCGCAUCAAUCUCCUUAUAGUAUACACCCGGGCGGCACCAAAAUGUACCAAGAUUUGAAAUUGCAUUAUUGGUGGCCGGGCAUGAAGAAAGACAUUGGGGAGUUUGUUGCGUAAUGUUUGGAGCUUCAUUUGAGGUUAGUAAGCUUAAAUCCCCCUUUGAUCCAUGUUUUAGCAAGUGUUACUUGUGGAAACCCUAGAUUGAGCAUAUUAGGGUUAGUAAUGGAGAUUUUUGACUUGAGGCUUUUUUUAUCUCAAUUGAUGGGCUUAGAACCUUUGUUUAGGUUGGUUUAGAAGGACUCUAACUCCCUUUUGGAGAUCGAGAGAGUUUACUUCGCAUUCGAUGAGUUUUCGCCCUAUUGCUUAAGUUGGUUAAUGAUCGAUCUCAGGAUUGUUCGUAACUUUCGUGUAUUUCUCUUUUCCUUACCUUUAGGAUGCUAGGAGAGUAGUGGGCAACUUUGUUCGGCGAAACGAAGGGUUGCGAGAGUCACGGUGGGUUUGACUUCAUGGAAUAGGGGAGAAAUGUCUCCUAUGUGAUUUGUACUUGUCGUCUCAUCGAAAUGCAUGCAUAUUUAUGCUAGAUAGGAUUUUUAUGAAUUUUAGAAUACUUAAAAUACAUGUGUUAUGUAUCAUAAAAAUUCAACUCUAUAUAGUAGAGCCAUAUGUGUAUUAUGCAUGCAUGUGAAAAGUAUUCUUAUUGCAAGUUGGAAAUAUGUCUCAUGUGAGAAAAAUGACUAGAAUUAUGUACUCUUGAAUAUAAAACUCAUGCUUGGACUUAGCGGACAAACAUGCCAUAUAGGGGCACCCGAACUAGUAAACUGUGAAAUUGCAACAUAGGGACAUAGUGAUAGGCAUUGUGACAUCGACUAUAUUUCAUGAUUUAGACAUGAUGACAUAGUGAUUGGCCAUUGAGAUACUUGCUACAUUCCAUAUUUUAGACAUGAUGACAUAGUGAUAGGCUAUUGAGAUACUUGGUACAUUCCAUGUUUUAGACUUGAUGACUUGGGACUUGAGACGAACUUUUACGCUUGCUUGCCAUUGUGCUCAUUCGCACAUGCUUAUGAGGGUCGCCUCCCACAAGCCGGCACUCCGGAGAUAGCCAUCGCGACACAUGCUCGCCCGUUAGUUGUUUAUGGUUCAUAUCAUACUUGUGCUUACCCUUUCAGCUUUUGGGCCUAGUGGUGCAUUUCACUGAAGUCAGUAAUUGUCCACUGGGAACCAUUAUUUAAUAGUUCUCACGCCCUCUGUUUUACGGUUUUCUUUCAGAGCUUUCAGCACUGGUGGAGGCACGGAAUAGCGGAAGGGGGUCGCACUUGCUUUUGCUCUUAGGUGGCUUACUCUCUUUUUGUUUGCUGUAGAGAGAGUGAGAGGUUUUGGUACCAUGUAUAGAGACCACCAUUGUAUUACUCUUAGCACUUGUAUGUGAAUUUCGGAUGUAUUACCUUAUGGUUUUAUUUUGGUAGAAUUUAGUCUCUAGUCUACUCUUUUGUUGUAGAAUCUAGUUGUACUAUGCUCUGAUACUCCUAUAUAUCCUUCUUCUAUUGCUUUAUUUAUUGUUUUAUUAUAGAUGCCUUACAUGUUUUAGACGUAUAGCGGGCCUGGGCACGCACCGGGCGAGCCUCCACUGGGUCCCGAGUCGUGACAAUAAUAUUGAAGUUCUAACCAUUAUUCACAUGCCAUGCAACUACCCUAUGAUGCAUGCAUGACACUAUUCACAUAUAUGCUCAAUAAAAGGUAAUAUAGACUUAGAAGGGAAUCCAACGAUUCCGGAAGGCACCCCCCAUCUUGGAUAGUUGUAUGGAUGCUACGGUUCAAUUCUUGAAAUAUUUGAACGCCUAUCCCGCGUGCUACGGCUAUCUGUACCAAAAACGGCAUUUUUGUCAAUUUCUUCACGUACACUCGUCGGAUUGUGGAACCGAGCGCACCAACGCGUUCUUUAUACCCCCAAUUAGGUUUCUAUAAGGUUAGUUUGCUUUUAAACCAACCUUGAACAAAAGCCCUAAUUUGGAGCCCUAACAUUGUCAUAUUGCUAGAUUUCUUGGAUUGAUCUUGAAGCUAAGCAAAAACAAGCUUAGAACCAUCCAAGAAGCUUUCUAAUACCAUUUCCAACUCAUUUGAACCAUCUUAGGGCAUCUAAAGCUAACCCUAGAAGUUCAUCAUGAGAGCACAUGAAGCUUCCAUGGAUUUCAUGGUGUUCAUGACCUCUAUAGAGUUUCUAGCUUUGCAAGAAGAUCAAAACUCCAAGACUUAGGGUGUAAAUCCAAACCCUAGAACCAUUCUUGCAUAAAACUCACCUUAGCCUAAAGCUCACCCAAGUCCACCUUAUAGUAGAGCCUCUAAACCUUCAAAUCUUCCAAAACUCCACCAAAAUCCCUUCUCCUUCUACUUCUCCUUGCUCUUUGGAGAGAUUUCUAGAGAGAGAAAGGGAGAGAAAUAGGUUGGAGAUGUGUUCUCUGCAGUAAAGAGAGAAUAGAGAGUGUUGGGGUAUUUUAUAAGGUGCUACAAUAGCAAAAAGGUCCCCAAAAAACUCAUAUUUGCAGCAGACCAACUUUUGCUGCCAGACCCAUGGUGUACCAGUACAGAUCACCCUGUCACCGGUAACACGAUUUCACAGAACCAAACCCGAGAGCAGCUGUUCGGGUUUUACAAAAGUGUACCGGUACACACCAAAGGUGUCACCGGUAACAAAGCCAAAUUUUCUCAAACCCGAGAGCAGCUUCCCCUACAUGUGUACCGAUACAACAUUGAUGCUGUACCGGUACAAAAUGCCCAGACUUCAGACUUUUGCAUCUUUUCAAUCCUAUUUCGCUCCGAUCAAUGCAAAAACCAUUCUAACUCUUUUAAACUCACUUUUAAUCCUUCCAACCUUGUUGGAAUGCCAAUUGGAACCUGUCCAACUAGUUCUCUUGGAUGUUUUAGUCAAUUUGGCUAAAGUCCAAUAAUAUCUACCGCGGUUUCGAUAUAUUACAAUGUAUAUCACUCUUUUUGCAAUUAAUAGAUGUUCUAUUAUGCACAGUAUUUAUAUGUUUGCAUUCAACGCAAUAAAAAUUAAAACAUAAUAAGAGUGUUCUAUUAUGUCAUAAUAGUGUCAAACUGUACAUAUUCUGCAUUCAUAGGAUGAACAUAAUUAAUUUAUUUUCUAGUUAUUUUCAGAAUGAAGUUAUGUGCUGACUUGUGCUGAAUAAAAUGCAGCUGAAAACAUGGUUGCCACCAGAGUGAAGUCGUCAAGCCGGUCGGACAAGAAGGCCACUACAAGUGGUCAAGGCACAACUUCACAUUCUGCAGAGAAAAGAGCAGACAGAUCAUCCAAAGCUAAAAGGCCGACCAUCGAGCUUGCUGUGAGCAGAUGUUACCCAGUUCAUCUGCACACCACAAUAUGUGUUUCAGAGUUGCAGAAGACUAUGGGCAGAUUUCAGACAGCUGGCUCAGCGUUACGUGAUGUUAUGCCCGAUGAACAGAUGGCACUUCUGAAGACUACUCCAUUCUUUUCUUAUCUCGACUUGCCUCCAAUUAAACAAGAUCUUGUGUUAGUCGAUUGCCUCCUCAGUUUUUGGGACUAAGAGAGAAGAGGUAUAAGAAUUGGAGAAACUUUUCUUCCCCUUACUCCAGAGGAGAUCUCCAUUUUGGUGGGGCUGCCAGCACAGGGGGAACCAAUAGAAUGGCAGAAUAAGGGUGUAAAAUCGAGCACUCUUGAUAAAUACUUGAAUGGUGACUAUCGGCAUGCCGAUAGGUCAAAAUUACGACAUAUUUUGUACAGUCCUGCUGGUCAGAAUGGAGAAAAGAUGGCAUCUGAUUUUGUGCGUAUAUUUAUAUUAUACGUAUUUGCGACCGUCCUCUUUCCUACCAGCCACUACAAUGUGCCAAAGGCACUAUACAGAUAUAUAGAUGAUUUACAUAGAAUAGGAAAAUAUGCCUGGGGUCAUGCUGUAUGUAAUUAUCGUAAGUUCGAUCUCCAGAGCCUCCUAUGUGUGAAGUGUCGAAAUAGCGGCCAAGAAAGAGUCGGCGGCUAUAUCGACGGCUGUACAAUAACAUUUCUGGUAAGUAAUAUCAUAAAUUAGUAUGUCAAUAUAAUUUAUUUUGCACAUUUUUUUAUGAUAAUAAUAUUGUUAAAUCAUGAUAAACUUGCAGAGUUGGGCUUACGAGCAUAUAAAGGAGUUGGGUAAUUCCGACGGAGACAAGGUUAUCCCUCGGAUGAGAAAAUAGAAGGGUUCAACAGCCUAUAGGAGUUACGAGAAGCUACUAAAAAAGUUGCAGAGCUAUACUCCUACAGAGUUGGAUGUUGGCGAUACUGUAAUAAGGGACAUUCCUUCUAGAAUUGAACGACUUAAAGGGCGUGAAAGGAAACAGAGGAGAAAGUGUAAUAUACCGAAAACUCGAAAAAUAAAUAUCGAACUUUAGUCAAAUUGACCAAAGUGCGAGGAUGGAACACUUCGGAAAGUCCGAAGGUGUUAAAAGGAAUAAAAGUGCAUUGUGGGAGGUUUUUGAGAGCUAAAGAAUCAAAAAUCUGCAUUCUGCAGGUUUUGUGCUCUCGGGGACCGGUCCCUGGUGGGAGAGACCAGUCACCGAACGCGUGAAAAUUGAAAAAGGCAGAAAAUCGGCUAAGUCCCAGAAAACUAGCUCUCAGGAACCGGUCCCUGCGGGGAGAGACCGGUCCCCGAGAGACCGGUUGUAAGGAAGUGAAUUCUCAAAAAUCCGAGGAUUGUACUUCAUUCAGGAUCGACUAAUUGUCGAGAGAAUACCCUUUGUGGGAGUUGAAAAUGUCCAAAACACAAAAAGUGCUUUGGAGUUGAGUCCGCGAGAGCAAUAAGCAAAAAUCUGGACUGGGAAGAUUUUGCUCUCGGGGACCGGUCCCUGGAGGGGAGGACCGGUCCCCGUAGCUACAGUUGCGGGGUUGCUUGAUACAACCGGUCCCUGGUAGGGAGGGACCGUUUUCCGAACGUGGUUCCUGCGAGAAACGCCAAAAUUUGGCUAAGUCCUAAGAAUUGAGCUCUCGGGGACCGGUCUCUCAGGUGAGGACUGGUCUCCCAAGGACCGGUCUCCUGGGGAGAGACCGGUUCCCGAACGCCUGCGCCCGAGAGAGGCCCUCGGGGACCGGUCCCAAGUCGGGGAGACCGGUCCCUCCGCGCGAAUUCUGCCCAGUAAAAGCAGUGUAUACGAUUAAAAGUUGAGGGGUUUUUAUGCAAAAUGGCAUUAGGUAGGGGGGGAUUAGAGGGGCUGAGCCCUCUUCCUCUCUCACCCUCACUCACACUCUCUCCCUCUCUUUCUCUCUUGCUCUCUCUCUCUCUAGAAAGGAAAGGAGAAGAAGAAGAACAAGGAAAGGAAGGAAAAGAAUGAGAAAAACAAGGAGGAGAAAAAGCAGGAGAUCAAGAGGAAGGCCUUGGACACCUUCAUCUCCCUCUACUCUUCUCUUUGGUGUAGCACAAGAGGUGAGCUACUAAACCCUAGCUUCUAGAAUUUGGGGUUUUGGGUUUUUAUGCUUUGGAAUGGGCCAAAUGGACCUUAAGCAUGCUUCUAAAUAGAUCAAUCCCAAGAAUCUAGGGAUUUAUUGGAUGGUUUGCUAUAGGUGCAAACCUAUGACUCCAAAAUAGGCUUUUUAGGAAAAUAUGAGAUUGAUCUCAUUUGAAGCCUUGGAAACCCUAUUCUUAGGUCACAAAACGUGGGGGCGAAGUCGGUUUUGGCAUUCGGCGAGCCGGCGUAAAGUUCUUGGCAAAAUAGGGCCGGGAUAGCUUGGAUUUGGGCGAGGAAGGCUAAAGCCUUUUCUUAAAGUUCGCCGAGAAGGAUUUCCGAAGCCUCUACAUCGAUUAAAGGUGGGGGGUGCCAUCCCGAAGCUUUCGAACUCCUUUCUAUGUCUUAGAUUGCAUUUAAUCUCAUAUCUUCAUGUUGCAUUGUAGGAUUGCAUAGUAGCUCCCUUCCUUAUGCUUUCUAAAUGAUAACCUAGUGUACUUGGAACGCUUGGUGACUUAGAUAGGUGAGGAUUGGGUCGGAACGUGGAUCCUAUGAUGCGAAAGAAAAGAGAUGUACCCGAUAGGGGUGUUAAUGACAUAGAAAGUAGUGUUAAUGUCAAAGAACAAACGAGUGGCAUCCAAAUGCUAAAGAUGACGAGUGGCAUUAAUGUAGUGUAAAUGACACUAGAGAUUUGAGAACCUAGGGAUAGGUGGAUCCCUUAGAAAAUGCCUUGUGGACAAGAACUUAGUAAACCUAAGUAACCUCGCAUGGAGAGGUCGUCGGUGAGUCGAUUGAGACAAUGACCCUAGUGGUAGUACUCCCUCACUUGGAGAGGAUUUGAUUGGGUUGUGGACCCUAGUAAUAGUGCUCCCUCACUUGGAGAGGAUUUGAUUGGGUAUUGACUCUAGUUGUAGAGCAUCCUCACUUAGAGAGGACUUGAUUGAGUUGUUGACCCUAGAUGUAGGGCAUCCUCACUUGGAGAUGAUAGAUCUAGCUCACAGUCUGCAUUCGGGAUGGUAUAGCCAUCCAAUCCCCACAUGGAGGGGAUUGUCGUCGAGUACUCCGGAGUGUCGUGCGACUAGGACCACUUGGAGGUCCGGACCACUUGGAGGUCCGGACCACAUGGAGGUCCGCAGACGGUCCCGGGCUUGGGUGCACUUGGAGCUCCCUCCCCACUUUGGGAUUGAAAGGUGAGUUAUGGGCGAGCCCUAGGGCCUCGCUACAGAUUCGGUAAAUGGAAAGAGUAAAGGUUUAAUAAUGUUAUUGAACAUUGCUAUUCGAACAUGGAUCGAAUUUGUUAGCAUGGUAGCAAACCUUUAUCAUAUGAUGCAUGCAUUCAUAUUCAUGAUUAUGGGUAUAAUAGCAUAGUUUUUCUACUACUGCAUUUACAGUUUUCAGAUACAUAUCUAUUUAUCUAUCUAUCCGUUGUUACUUGUGCCCACUUGGACCUAGUGGGGAGAUCGGCAGAGUCGGCGGCCGAGCCCACUGGGAACUAUGGAAGAUAGUUCUCACCCCACUCUAUUUCCAGUGGUAGGUACAGGCUACCAAGAAAGGACCGCGGCAAGGGCAUCGCGCCCGAUCAGUGAGACCGUGGUAGUAUAGUAGCUUUCCUUUUUGCAUUAGCACACCUAUGUAUUGAGAGAGAUUCAUUGUAGGUGAGGAUUUGGAGAGCUAUAUAUUUUGGAGAUGAAAAAUGUAUACAUUUAAAGAGAACGAUGUAAAUAAAAAUGAUGGAACUAUUGUAAUAGUUAGUAAAGUACUCUCUUUAUUUCACAUGCUAUAUCUUGUGGAUUGCUUGCUCUUUGUGUUGUUGGCACUGUUUGUGCCCUUAUGAAUGUGUAUGUUUAGAAUUUAAUUUCCUGGAUAAAUUCUUGUACACAUUCCUAUUGAUGAGCCUUGGGCGGACAAAGGAGGUACUGUCCGUUCGGCGGCCCGCCGCCGCGGCCGAACCGUGCCAAAUUCGUAGUGGUUUCGGGGCGGGGCGUGACACCGGUCUCCCUGGGAGAAACCGAUUGCCUCGAGCGAAAGCCCCCGCUGAGCUGCGGGAGAGCUCUCUGGGACCGGUCCCAAGUCGGGGAGACCGGUCCCCGAGCACGAAAACUGCCCAGUUCAAGCAGUUUAAUAAAGUGAAAGCUGAGGGGUUUAUUUGCAAAAAUGCAAUAUAUGGGUUAUGUUAUGAGGGGUUUUGGGAUAUUUCUCUCAUUCUCUCCCUCACACUCCCUCUCUUCUCUCUUUCUCUCUCUAGAAGACAAGAAAGAGAAGAAGAAGACAAAGAAAAGAAAGGGAAAGAAGAAGAAGAAAGUGGAGAAGAAGAAGGAGUGAAGAACCCCCUCUCCCUCAUCUCUAGCUUGUAGGAGGGAAUGCUUUGAGGUAAGCUUUAAACCCUAUUAUGGUGAAACCCUAAAAUGGGAUUUGAUUGAGCUAAGAGUGGUUUUUAUAGAGCCUUUAGAGUAUUUGGGGCUAUCUAUUACUUCUUUUAGAGAUCAAAACCAUGGUUGGGUAUAAGUGAUGAAGCUUAGAGGUAAGCUUCACCCCUCUCAUGGUAGAAUCCAAACUAGGGUUUGGAUUGAGCUAAGGAUGGUUUUUAUGGAGUCUCUAGAAUAGAUUGAAGCUUCUUUCCCAAUGAGAUCAAAUCCUAGGUUUUGGUAUAUAUGAAGCUAGGGCACCCAAAUUGGGGCUUUUGCUUGUAAGGGAUUCAAAGUGAAAUUAACCCUUUAGAAACCUAAUUGGGGGUAUUUCCGACGCUUUGGUGCGCUCGGAUUAACGUUACUAAAAGCUAAUGUAAAGAUAUGAGCAAAAUGGCCUAAUAGGGAUUCGUUUUGCCGCAGGUGACGAACUAAGAAGCUAAAAAUCCCAGGAAAAUCACCGUAACACCUAAGAAAGCCUACAAGGUGGAUGGUGCUAUCUAAACUUAUUGGAAUUCCUUCUAUGCCUAAUGUGUCAUUCAAUUAAGCAUAUAUUUAUAUUGUUCCAUGCAUUAUAGGGUAGAUGUGAUGAUAUACAUGUGAAUGUUGCAUGAUGUGAGUACACGUGCUAUUUGAAAUGUUUGAGAGCCUACUUAACCCUAUAUGUAUGCAUGAGAUAUAAUAUGAGCACCCAAUGAGAUGAAAGAACGAGUGACACAAUAAAACAUAGAUCGAGUGGCAUUCGAUAAUGUAAAGUAAAGUGACACUAGAGUUGGUGUGUGUAGCAUCAAAGAGAAAUGUGACGCAAAGAAUAAUGAUAAUGAUUAGAGACAGAUAAAGAAAAUGAAAGUGGCAUAAAGAAUGAGUAAAGCUAAAGAACAAAGAAUGCUAGAGUUAGCAAAAUAAAGUGAUGUAAAGAACACUAGAGUUAGUGAAUUGACAUGGUCAAAGAUAAAGAAUGCAAAGAACAUGAGAUUGACACGAUGACAUUCAAAAUUAGAGCUAAGGGUCAUUUGUGCAUAAUUCCUUAGAGUUAAGGAACAGAUUGAACUAUAUAUCCUUAGAGUUAAGGAUUGAUCAUACUUGCUAUGAGUUCCGUGCUCGAGGGCGGUCGCUCCCCCUCGAGUGAUGCGCUCUGGAGUUUUGCAUCACGGGUUGGAGUAAAUCCGAGGACGGUCUUAGCGGGAGGUAGCUGAGAGCCCGCGAUGAUGGACUUAAUGUGGGCAAGUUAAUGUGGCAAAACCCCUGGGUUAGCCGUGAGAUUAAAGAACAAAGAACAAAGAUUAAAGAAUAAAGAGUAAAGAACAGAGAACUUGCAUACUUGCAUGAAUUACGUUGAGCAUACUUCUUGCUUCAUUGUUCAGGCAUAUUAGCAUUAUGAUUAUUGUUUGGUUACUCUUCUGCUUUUCUAUUAUGCCUGAGUUAGUCCUAGUGGGAAAGUCGGUGAGAUUGGGGCCAAACCCACUGGGAACUUUGUUGUAGUUCUCACCCCACUAUUCCAUAUAGCCGGGACCAAGCGAGCCGGCGAGCGACCGUGGUAAAGGUAUCGCACCUUAGUCAGAGGCCACCCGAGUCGGGCUUUACCUUUUGUUAGUAGUGUAUCUUUUAUCGUCUUUUGUAUUUGAUAAUUUAAGAUGUUGAUGAAUAAAGCAAAGAAAGAAAAGAAUGUAAUGUUUAUUCUGAGCCAAUGUGAUGUAAAAGAAAUGAUGCAAGUGAUGUAAUGAAAUGUAAAGACUUUAUAAUUGUACAAGUUGGAUGAAAUGGAUACAUGUAUGGGAUCAAAAGAGAAUCAUAGUACUUGUGUAGAUAUUUAGUUUCCUUUCUUUCACUCAUGGCUAGUGCUUACCCUCGUGUAAGCCGUUUGUGUAUGUUUCCGCUAGUGCACUUCUUGUUUGAAAAUGUACAAGUGAUGAGUCUUGGGCGGAUAGGGAAAAUUCUGUUCGUUCGGCGUCUGUUUAACGUGCUCGGGCCGGCCCAAAUUGGUAUCGGUCCCGAGGCAUGACAGAAUGUCCCCUGAUUUUACGCCAGGCGAACGUCGUAUGACUCGCCAUUAUAGAAGAAAGCGGCGGAAUCCUUUGAAGAUCGGGGGGGCCGAAGCUGGUGAAGAGGCAUCAAAUACUGUGUCAGGGACCAUUGCGGAGGUCCUUAUGGUAAUAUAUGAUGUAGUUGAUUAAUUUUAAUGUGAAUAAACUUAUAUCAUAUAAAAUAUGACUUUUGCACAUGAUUUGGUUCAUAAUAGGAAAUGAAAGCUGAACUUGGACAAUUAGAAAGUGCAUUACCAGCUGUUGAGAUUAAUGAUGUCCCUGCGCUGGUUGAGUCGCCUGGUUAAUUAUUGAGCGUCGUCGCAACUACCCCGGAAGAGAUAAUAUUCCCAAAGAUGAGCGGGAUGCAAUAAAUUUUCUAAUAUCCCGACCUAUUACAAAGUUUGUCAAUCUUUAUGUACAUGUAGUGAUUAGUUAGCAUUAAAUAUAAUUGGCAAAAUAUUCGAGCUUAACUAUUUAGCAAUUCUUUUCUAACAUAUUGUUAUAUAUUUUAUUUUUUGAAUAGGGGACCCAUAUGGCAAGAUGAUACGAAAGGGUCAGAUUCGCCUCCUGUUAGCGGUCAAGUCCUCCUUAAUUACUUAUUUGGAGGCCCGACGCGCGACGAGGUUAGUGCUGCCACAGAUUAUGUAUUGUAUUAGCGCGUGUAGCUUGUUUUAUAUAUAUAUAUAAUUCUAAUUCUCUUUGUUUUGCUGACUUUCUUAUUUAGGUGAUUAAUGUGUAUUUUCAUAUAAUUGAUAAGCUGGAUUGCAUGGGUGUACAUAAAUUAGUCAACCUGGUAUUUUCUCCCGAAGUGAAGUUGCGGUGAGUUUGAUGCUUUCACUAUUAGAUUAGUUGUUCUCUAUUUCUCGUUCUCUAUUUCCCUAUCAAGCAAACUAAAAUAAAUAUAAAAGUGAGUUAAAAUGGAAGAUAAAAAUCUGUUGAAUUCCGAAUCCCAAUUUGUUGAACAUUAUUUAUUAGGUCCUGUUUCAUAAUCUGUGAAAAUAUUAACCGUCCAAAAAAUUGCAUUUGAGUUUCCCGCAACUGUUCGUAAGGCAUCUUGCUAACUUGAUUCCUUUUUCUAUGCAGAUGCACGUACUAAAUAGGAUGCAAGGAAUUGGAAAGGAUGAGGCACAGCUGAUUUUGUCAGGGAUGUGGCUUUUGGAUCCGCAUUUAUACGUCACUUUCUGGAAAAAAUAAAUGCACAUACCUGCAGCAAGAAUAGAUUUGUACUUAUUCCUUAACAUAGUAAUUGGCAUUGGCAUUUACUAUCAAUUGAUUUGAAGGAAGGGUGUUUUGAGAGCUGGAACUCAUUGUGGAGCCACAGCGGGGCACACGACGCAGCACAGCUGCUGGUAUUAAUUUAUUCUUGACAGUAGACACACUGUUUUAGUUAUUUAUUCACUUGGCAGUAACAUCUACUAUCCACUCAUUUUAAUUUAUUUACCUUUUUUUCUCUUCGACAGGCGAAGUGGUUUUCGUCCUAUUUUGAGCACAUCCUCCAAAUCCCUGUAGGCGUUCCUGACGUCGUAUUUCGUAAAGAAUGUCAACAACAGGGUUCCACAGAAGUCGAAUGUAACAUAUUGAAAUUCGAGAAUGAUUAUCGAACUUUAGCCAAAUUGACUAAAUUAUGCGAAAGAGAUGGAUGGACAUGUUGUAUUUAGCAUUUCAAUAAUGUUGGAAGGGUUAAAAAUGAGUUUAAGGGAGAUUAGAAAGGUUUUAGCAUCGACCGGCGCUAAGUAGAAUCGAAUCGGAGCUAAAACUGCAAUCUGGUGCAUGUGUACCGGUACAACCAUCGAGUUGUAACCGGUACAGACCAGCAGCCCGAGAGAAAGCUGCUCUCGGGUUUGAGUUUUAGCAGAAAUGUACCGGCACACCCCUGGUGUGUACCGGUACACUUUGGUAAAAUCCGAGGAGACUACUCUCGGGUUGCCUCUGCGGAGAAAAUGUACCGAUACAAAAUCCCGUGUACCGGUACACUUUGGUCCCGCAGCAACUUGAAGUUUGUUGCAAAUAAGAUUUUUUGGGGCGCUUUGUUGCUAUUGUUGUAACCUAUAAAAUACCACAACACACCCACUGGUUCACAGUAGCUGUGAACACCAUCUCCAACCUAUUUCCUCCCUCUCUCUCUCUAGGAAUCUCUCUCCAAAGGCUAAGAAGAAGAAGAAGGAGAAGGGAUUUUGGUGGAGUUUUGGAGGAUUGAAGGUUUAGAGGCUCUCCAACAAGGUGGACUUGGGUGAGCUUGUGGCUAAGGUGAGUUUUGUGCAAGAAUGGCUCUAGGGUUAGGAUUCUUACCUUAAGUUUUAGAGUUUUGAUCCUCUAAUAACCCUAGAAACGUCGAACGAACCUUGAAAUCCAUGAAAACCAUGAUUUUUUCAAGGUCCUCUAAUGGUGAACAUUUAGGGUAUGAAGUAGAUGCCCUAGGGAUGUUUGGAAUGGCUUAGUAAUGGUAUUAGAAUACUUCCUAGGUGAUUCUAAGCUAGUAUUUGCUUAGAGAUGAGAUCAAUCUAGGAGAAAUCCCAUUAUAGCAUUGUUAGGGCAUGGAUUUUGGGGCUUUUACCUCCGGUUGUUUUUGAGAUAAAUUGACAUCUUGGAAACCUAAUUAGGGGUGUUGUCACGCCUCGUGCCCCGCCUAUUUAGUCGAGUUCGGGCACGCCAACAGACCGUCGAACGGACAGGGUUUUCCUGUACCGCGGACAGAGUCUUCCCUGUACGUCCAAGGUUCGAUACAAUUCACGAUGUUCCAACUAGGAACCGAAUUCAAGCAAAGAUUACAUAAGGAAGUAUCAAAAACAUAAAACAACUAAGUUAUUACAACAUUCAUCUUAGGUGUAUUUUACAUCACAAUUUUCUUUUACAAUCAACUUCCAAAAUACAAUCUAGUUAACACAAUUAUUUCAAGUUUGAUACAUUUGUAUUCUUUGUCUUCAAACCCCUAAGCUAGACCACCUCAGGGUACCGCUAUCUCAAUCUCGGGGUUAGGGCCGCUAUCUACGAAGCUACGCCCUUGCCACGCGCCGCCGCACCGCUCACGUGCGAACCUAUAACACCCCAAAACAACGUGGGGUGAGAACCAACUCCAUAGUUCCCAGUGUGUACGGCCACCCAAGGGAAAAGCUCGACCAAUAAGUCUAAGAAGGCACUGCAACAGUUAGUCCAGCAGAUAUAUAUAUAUAUACGAUUAAGGAAAAACAUGCUAUGCCUCACAAUAUGCAAUAUGCAAAUCCUGUAUCUCAUGCAAGUAGAUUAAAUGAUUCUACUUCAUAUCAUUAACCAUUCUUUACUUGUAGCCGUUUUUACUUUAUUAGCUAUUCUUUACUCUUAGCUAUUCUUUAUUCUUAGCUAUUCUUUAUUCUUUACUAAGGNCUUUACUUGUAGCCGUUUUUACUUUAUUAGCUAUUCUUUACUCUUAGCUAUUCUUUAUUCUUAGCUAUUCUUUAUUCUUUACUAAGGGUACUCACCCCUUAGUCAUAUUAUACUCAUUUGUCUUUCUUUCCUAAGGUUACUCUUACCUUAGUUACACUAUGCCACUCGACUCAAUCUUGAGUAAAUUAACUGCGGAUAAUCCGCACUCUGUCGGCUCGAGGUGAAGGAACUCUCGCAUGCACCUCAGCCUACCACAACCAGCCGCACUCUAUGACUGAGCCACUCGGCGGCGAAAUCGUCGCACAUACGCCACGACAAUGGCUCAAGUCAAGCGGUGGUACAAUCCACAAACCGGCAUAACCAUCCGGCAGCAAAAUCGUCGCACACACCACGUCAAUGGUUAGCCCCGGACGGCGAAAUCGUCGCACACGCCCAACACCACUUUGGGUGUUCCAAAAGCUCUGGGAUUCCGGAAUCGAUUUCACAUAACUCAAGAAUUGGUCUUAACCCUAUAGUAUCGACCUAUCUAGGCCCAAUGUCCCUUCCAACCUAGGUCCACUUGACUCUAGGUUUAACACUUUUAUCACAUAACCUAGGUUACUUUAACUCUUGGUUCGCUAUCUUUAUCUCACAACCUAAGUUGACUUAACUCUAGGUUUCUUCUCAACCUAUGUUUUCUAACAUUAGGUUUGAUGCCACUCUUGUACGACCUAUGUUUAUUAACACUAGGUUCGAUGCCACACCUGUUCAACCUAUGUUUAUUAACACUAGGUUCGAUGCCACACUUGUUUAACCUAUGUUUAUUAACACUAGGUUCAAUAUUACUCUUACUCAACCUAUGUCCUUGAUACUAGGUUCAAUACCACUCGAUAUAUAUAUAUAUAUAUAUAUAUAUAUAUAUAUAUAUAUAUAUAUAUAUAUAUAUAUAUAUAUAUAUAUAUAUAUGUCCACAUGCACAUGUCAUUUAACAUAGUUCUAUAUAUAUCAACUUACCUUCACUUAGCAUUCUCGUCAUGUCAUCAUUUAUUUUCUUAGCAUUAACCACAUGCUUAUCAUGUAUUUACUUGGCAUUCUUAUAACAUGCAACAUGCAUUCAACUAGCAUUAAUCAAUGCAUUUAUUUAGCAUUUCUAUACCAUGUCAUUCAUGCAUUCUCUUUUGUAUUUUUACUUUAUGUCAUUAGCAUGCAUUCUCUUUAGCAUUUACUACAUGCAUCCACUUAGCAUUUACAUGCAUCAAUAUGAAACCACAUUACCCUUAGACAUUACGGCGACCUAGUCGCUUCGGUAAAUACAACCCACCUCGAUUCGCACUCCGAUUGGUUGUCGUCACUUGAAAUCGGCCUCCCACGGCACCCGUGACCCAGUUCGGCCCGAACUCUCGCGCGACCACCCGAACGGCCUGCAAUCCACGAUCCGGAAAUUAAAGGUCUACGGUUAGUUGCCACGAGCCCACGAUUCCGUUUUCAUGAUUUUAGGACGUCGCCUCGGCCCUCCAGGCGGAAACGAAGCCGAAACGUCCGUUUCUUUAAUAUCUUCGCACCGGCUCGACGAAUCGCCGAACCGACUUCGCCAACGCGUUCGUAUACCUAGCAAUUAGGUUUAUAUAGGUUCAAUUUAGAUCAAACCCAUCUACUAGCAAAAAUGCCAUUUUUGAGUCCUAGGUUACAAGUAUGCAAGAAAUCACCAUUUAGUUUCAUGAUUCAAGCAUUAAUCCUCUAUUUAACAUCUAGAAGUUCCACUAAAUCCAUUCUUAGAGCAUAUAAUUGAAGCCCUAAAAUUUUACCAUUAAAGGCAUCAAAGCUUACCUCUCAAGCUAGCUCCAAUGAAAAGGAAGAAGAUGAUGAAGACGAAAAUCCACCUUCAAGCUUCAAUCUCCACCAAAUCCAUCUCUUGAUUCCACCUUCAAGAGAGAGAGAGAGAUCCUUCUUGGUUGCAAGUGUGAGGGAAAGGGAGAGAAUGUGUGCGUGGGUGUGUGCGGGUGCGGUUCAGCCAGCCACAAAGUAGGGGCUGUGAUAAUUGCACAAAACCCCCUCUUACACCAAUUACAACUUGCAGUUUAGCAGAUACAAACUUACGUUUUUCGCCGGAGCCCUUCUGAAUGUCUGUUUGUGUUCAAAUUUGACAGUCAGGCUCGGUUUUACUUAAUAAGUCCAAAGAAAUUUUAAUCUUUCAGUUUCGACCAUAGUUGGUCACCGAAAGCUCUAACAAACUGUAAUCUCUAGCAGAUAGCAGUCGAAUUUUAUUUUCCACAUUCCGAGUGUCGGAUUGACAUGAAACUUUAAAUCUAGCCUCAUAAAAAUAAUUCCGACAUAUUCUCCAGUUUUCAUAAUUUUCUGACACUGUACAUUUUCUGCUAAAAUAUCAGUCCCGUUUCUCACAGAAAAUUCUAAAUCUUCUAUUUUCGUUCUGAUUUCAGCACGAGUCAUUUUCGACUUAUAUUUUACUUCUCUAAAUCCAAUAAAAAUAGUAUCUCACACUAUUUUUAUUUAUUUUUUACUUUUAUAUCAAAAUCUAAUAUGUUACAAGCCCAAAGUGUACGGGUACACUUCCUCGUGUCACCGGUAACACGACUGUGCAGAGACAAAACCCGAGAGAUGCUUCUCGGUUUCCUAGCAUUUGUACCGGUACACUUUCAAUGCUGUACCAGUUACAACUCGAUGAUUGUACCGGUACACUUUGUCCAGACUUGGUUUUUGACUCCGUUUCGAUUCUAUUUUGCAUCGAACAACGCUAAAACCUUUCCAACUUCUUCUAAACCCACUUUUAACCCUUCCAACCUUGUUGAAAUUUUAAAUAGAACUCGUACAACCAUUUCAUUCGCACGCUUUAGUCAAUUUGACUAAAGUCCAAUAUUUUCUACCGAAGUUUCGGUAUGUUACAGGUGUUCCCGACGUGUGGGACAACUCCGUUUGACGUUACGAAAAGACUAAGUAAGAGUUCUAUGUAUUAAGCAUAAUUUGGCUUUAUUUUUGGGUUUAGGUCGCGGGAUAGGCGUCCUAAAAUUGCGAGAGUUGAACUACAACCCUACUACAAUAUUCAAGGUGGGGGGUGCACACCGGAAUCAUCGGAUUCCCCUUUAUGUCUAUUUCACUUUUGUUUAGCAUAUUUAUGUAUAGAAUCAUUCAUGCAUGAUAGGGUGUUUGACAUGUGGUUAAUGGUUAGAAUUUCAAUAUUAUGUUUCUAACGUAGAUGAACAUAGUGAUUGAACAAGAACCAUAAUAGACAUGUAUAGUAGAACCCUAAAGAUUGUAUGAAUAUGAGACUUGGACCAAGACAAUAGUAAACAAAGGUGAUAUUGACAAUAGAGACGAGAUUGGCAUUGAGACAUUGGUUGUUAAAUAAAGUUUAACCAUUAGAGGCAUUUGGGCAAGAGUAGCCUAGAGAGUGGCAAAUAUGAUAAGGUAGAGACCUAUCAUUGAUAAAGUGGCAUUGUGACUAGUGGCUAUGUAUUCCCAAGUUGGGAAUUGGAUCAAUACUCACGAUAAGUCUUGGCUUGAGAGAGAUAGCUCCCCCUCAAGCGGUGCGUUCCGGAAUUGUCACCACGGGGAGCGCCAUCCCCGAAGACGGUCCCUCGGGUCUUGUAGUGGUUAGAGCCUCCCCGAAUGAAAGGGAUUUUGGGUUGUGAGUUAUUGGGGUUAACAAGGUUAACCGGAAAGAUUGUGUAAAGAAAGCGAAAGUAAAGUAUGGAUAAAGCAUGCAUGCAUCUUUAAUAUCGCUUGAUAUAUAUAUCUGCUGACAUCUUUCUUGCAGGCAUAGUAUUAGCAUUAGUAAUGGUUACUUUUCUCUUUCUUUGAAAUACUUAUGCCUGAAUAGACCUAGUGGGUAAGUCGACGAGAUCGGUUGCCGAACCCACUGGGAACUUUGUUGUAGUUCUCACACCACUAACCUUACAGAUCCGAGCGUGAGCGGGACGGCGAAGGAUCGAGGCAAGGGUAUUGCGCCAUAGCUAGUGGGCACCGGAGUUAUGCAUUUUAGUCAUUCCCUUUUUGGUUCAUAUAUCAACUUUCUUUUGUUGAUUAGAAUUGUAAAGUUAUAAACAGUCAUGUAUUUCGAGAGAAUGAUUAAGAUGUAAAAGAAUUUAUGAAUGAAUGGAAAAAGAAUGUAAUAGUUGUAAUUUAUUUGUAUUUGGUUAAAAUGUAAUCAAAUAUUAUGAAUGGUUGUAUGUUUUAGUAUAGAGCUUUCGCUUUCGUUGCUGCUUGCCCUCGUGCAAGCCUUGUAUAAUUGCAAAUCUCUUUGUUUGAUUGCUUAAUUAUACCUGUGGUUGGAGCCUUGGGCGGGCAGGGGAGGCCUUGUCCGUUCGGCGUUUGUUGAUGUGGCCCGAACCCGACCAAAUUUGGCGGGGAGCGGAACGUGACACGAUUGCUCACAAAUUGCUAUAGCUGGUCUGCUUGCACAACGGAUAGGUAGCCGACCCUCAUAUUUGCAAUUUGGAGAAAGUGGUGCAGGAAGUUAUAUUGUUUUCUUUUCUGCUGAGAAAAGCCGUCAGAAAGCUAUUCGUCGUUCCCCAAUAAGAAAUGACAUAUUAACGAUCACAGUAACUCCAUGGGAAGCUAGCCAUUAUACAGCCGUACUAACAUUUCAGUAUUUUGUAUGGAUUCGCCUACAGAAUUUACCACUCUAUUGCCAUCAGUAUCAAGAGUUAACAACUAUUGUUUCGAGCUUUGGCAGUACAUACGGGCCGAUAAGCGCAGCCGUCUUGGUGAAAAUCUAAACUACUAUCGUCUCGUGAUAAAAUGUAUUAAUCCUCGCAUCAUACCAGAAUAUAUUCUACUCUAUUUAGGGAAUAGAGAAUGGACAAUUUUUGUUGAGAUUGAGUCAUGGGAACCGUGCUCUCCAACUGAAAGCCCAUGAUGUACUGUAUACGGUACCACCUGCAUCGCAUAUUUUAUCAUGAGUUUUAAUCUAAUAUUAAGUUUGGCUCAUUGUCUUCAAAUAUAUUUUUUUAAUAUUGUAUAUUAUGUUUUAUCAACCAUAGCUGAAAAUGCACUGGGUAUGGUUGUUCCUGUGUCGCUUUUGCUGUACCGAAAUAUUGUACAGGUAUUCCAAGAUACAUUUAUAACUGUACAAUACAUCAGUUUAAGUGUUCAUCAUAUAGGCCGGUUCAAAUAUAUUGUACCUCGAAAGUAAUCAAUCUUUCUAAAAUCAGAAAACACACUUUUAUUUUAUAGAGGUCGCAGGUACAUCUGUAGUGUUAGAGGGCACACUCAUAUACCUGCCACAUCUAUAUGUCCAUUUCUAUAUGGUAGGUUUUGCUUGUGCAGCUAUAACUUAAAAUGGUACAAUUAUACAGCUCCCUGGAACAUCUAUAGUGGUAAAGGGCACAUCCAUAUACCUGCCACAUCUAUAUGUCCACUUUUAUAUGGUAGGCUUUACUUUUACAGCUAUAACUUAAAAUGAAACAUUUAUACUGCUUCCCGGAAUAUCUGUAGGACUAAAGUGCACACCCAUAUUCCUACCACAUCUAUAUGUCCAUUUCUAUAUGGUAGACUUUGCUUUUGCAGUUAUAGGUUAAAAUAGAACAGUUAUACCGCUCACCGGAACAUCUGUAGUGGUAAAGGGCACACCCAUAUACCUGCCACAUCAAUAUGUCCACUUCUAUAUGGUAGGCUUUACUUUUGCAGCUAUAGCUUAAAAUCGAAGAUGUCUACUUCUAUAUGGUAGGCUUUGCUUUUGCAGCUAUAACUUAAAAUCGAACAGUUAUACUGCUCCCCGAAACAUUUGUAGUCCACUUCUAUAUGGUAGGCUGUGCUUUUGCAACUAUAGCUUAAAAUGGAACAGUAAUACUGCUCCCCGGAACAUCUGUAGGCUUAAAGGGCACACCCAUAUGCCUGCUACAUCUAUAUGUUCAUUUUUAUAUGGUAGGCUUUGCUUUCGCACUUAUAGCUUAAAAUGGAACAGUUAUACCAUUCCCCGGAACAUUUAUAGUGGGUAAAGGGCACAUCCAUAUACCUGUCACAUUUAUAUGUCCACUUCUAUAUGGUAGGCUUUGCUUUUGCAGUUAUAGCUUAAAAUAAAACAGUUAUACUGCUCCCCGGAACAUCUGUAGGGCUAAAGGGCACACCCAUAUGCCUGCCACAUCUAUAUGUCCAUUUCUAUGUGGUAGGCUUUGCUUUUGCAGUUAUAACUUAAAAUGGAACAGUUAUACCGCUCCCCAGAACAUUUGUAGUGAUAAAGGGCACACCCAUAUACCUGCCACAUUUAUAUGUCUACUUCUAUAUGGUAGGCUUUACUUUUGCAGCUAUAGCUUAAAAUGGAACAGUUAUACUGCUUUCCGAAACAUCUGUAGGGCUAAAGGGCACACCCAUAUGCCUGCCACAUCUAUAUGUCCAUUUCUAUAUGGUAGGCUUUGCUUUUACAGUUAUAGCUUAAAAUGGAAUAGUUAUACCGCUCCCCGGAAUAUCUGUAGUGGUAAAGGGCACACCCAUAUACCUGCCAUAUCUAUAUGUCCACUUCUAAAUGGUAGGCUUUACUUUUGUACCUAUAACUUAAAAUGGAACAGUUAUACUGCUCCCCGGAACAUCUGUAGGGCUAAAGGGCACACUCAUAUGCCUGGCACAUCCAUAUACAGAUGAAGGUACAAUGAACUUGUGAAAAUAAUUCGAAUCUGGAUAACAACUCAUAUAAGAUAUAAUCUGAGAGAAAAGACAUCAAGGUAGAUGGACACAGCAUGUUUCAAUAGAAAAAAAGUAACUAGAAUCUUAUCAACAACUCGCAUUACACAAAAAACAUCACGGUUAUGAUUAAGCAGAAUCACGGUUAUGAUUAAGCUUUUUUUAAUCUUCUAUAUUAUGUUUUGUUAACCAUAGCUGAAAAUGGACUGGGCAUGGCUGUUCCUGUGGCGCUUUUGCUAUACCCAACUGUUGUACAGGUGUUCCAAGAUACAUUUGUAACUGUACAAUGCAUCACUUUAAGUGUUCAUCAUAUAGGUCGAUUCAAAUCUACUGUACGUACUUCCAAAGUUAGCAAUCUGAAAUUAAAUCAGAAAACACACUUUUAUUUUAUAGAGGUCGCAGGUACAUUUGUAGUGUUAAAGGGCACAUCCAUAUACCUGCCACAUCUAUAUGACCACUUCUAUAUGGUAGGCUUUGCAUUUGCAGCUAUAGCUUAAAAUAGUUAUACUAUUCCCAGGUAUAUCUGGAGUGUUAAAGGGAACACCCCUAUACCUGUCACAUUUAUAGGUCACUUCUAUAUGGUAGGCUUAGUUUUUGCUGCUACAGCUUAAAACGGAACAGUUAUAGAGGUCGCAGGUACAUCUGUAGUGUUAAAGGGCACACACAUAUACCUCUGCCAUAUCUAUAUGUCCACUUCUAUAUGGUAGGCUUUGCUUUGGGUGCUAUAUCUUAAAUUUGUUAUGUAUAGAGAUGGAACAUCUAUAUGUCCACAACUAAGGGCCUUUUAGUUGUGCCCUCCAUCAGAUCAAGUGGUAAUUUGCUUUUUAUCAAAUCUUUGUCAUUCCAAAUUUAUACAUCUGAACCUAAAUCAUAAUGAACAUUCAUUGUAAACAUUUACAAAUGCAAACGUAAAUGCAAACCUGUAAAUACGGAUGAACAUACAAUGAACUCGCAAAAAUAAUACGAAUCUGGAUAACAACCAUAUAAGAUAAAAUCUGAGAAAAAUUGACACAUUACAUCAUUAAGAAAAAUUGACUAGAAUCUUAUCAACAACUCGCAUUACACAAAAGACAUCACGGUUAUGAUUAAGCAGAAUACAAGAUAACAAAUAUGCCGGGUGUAAUAUACCAAAAAUUCGGAAAAUAAAUAUCGAACUUUAGUCAAAUUGACCAAAGUGCGAGGAUGGUACACUUCGGAAAGUCCGAAGGUGUUAAAAUGAUCAAAAGUGCGUUACGGAAGGUUUCGAGAGCUAGAGAAUCAAAAAUUUGCAAACUGCAAUUUUUGAGCUCUCGGGGACCGGUCCCUGGUGGGAGAGACCGGUCCCCGAACGCAUGCGAAAUGAGAAAGGCCGAAAAUCGGCUAAGUCCCAGAAAACCAGCUCUCGGGAACUGGUCCCUGCGGGGAGAGACCGGUCCCCCAGUGAGAGACCCAUUGCAUCGCACGUGCGCCCUGCUGCCCGCGGGGAGAGCUCUCUGGGACCAGUCCCAAGUCGGGGAGACCGGUCCCCGAGCCCGAAAUCUGUCCAGUUUGAGUAGUUUAAUAAGAUAAAAGCUGAGGGGCCUAAUUACAAUUAUGCAACCCAUAGAGUGAAAUAUGAGGGGAUAUGAGAUAUUUCUCUCAUUCUCACCCUCUCACACUCUCUUAUCUCUCUUUCUCUCUCCAGAAGACAAAGAAGAGAAGAAAGAAAAGGAAAGAAAGAGAAGAAGAAGGAGAAAGAAAGGAAAAGAAAGGCAAAGAAGGUGGAGAGGAAGCCAUUGGAGUGAAGCUAUCUCCUCUUCUUCCCCUUUUGAGCAAGCUUAGAGAUAAGCCUUGCCCCUUUUCAUGGUAAAUCCCAAACUAGGGUUUGGGUAAGCUGAGAAUUGGGUUUUAUAGAAACUUUUGAGCCUUUGAAGCUUUCUUUUGCUUCUUAUAGAGAUCUACACCAUGGGUGGUGUGUGUGUGGUGAAGCUUGAAGGAGAGCUUCAAUCCCUCUCAUGGUAGAAUCCAAACUAGGGUUUGGAUUGAACUAAAGAUGGUUUUAAUGGACUUCUUAGAGUAGAAUAAAGUUUCUUUUGCUUCCCAAUCAGAUCAAACCCUAGGUUUGAUAUAUGCUAUGGAGCUAAGGGCACCCAAAUUGGGGCUUUUGCUUGCGAGGGUUCCAAAGUGAAAUUGACCCACUAGAUAUCUAAUUGGGGGUAUUUUCGAAGCGUUGGUGCGCUCGGAUUAACGUUACGAAAAGUCUAUAAAAAGUUAUGGACAAAAUGGCCUAAGUUGGCUUCGUUUUGCCGCAGGUGAAGAACGAGAAGUCUAAAAAUCCCAAAAAAAUCAUCGGAGCACCUUUGAGAACCUACGAGGUGAGUGGUGCUAUCCAAACUCGUUGAACUUCUUUCUAUGCCUAAUGUGUCAUUCAAUUGAGCAUAUGUUAUAUACAUUGUUGCAUGCAUUGUAGGGUAAAUGUGAUGAGAGUAAUGUGAUGUUGCAUAUUGUGAGUACAAUUUGCCUAAUGAGAUGCUUGAGAACUCCUAUGAAUGUUUAACCCUAUGUAUGUAUGAGAUAAAAUGUGAGCACCAAAGUGAGGCAAAAGAACAGAGUGACACAAUAAGACAUAGAUCGAGUGGCAUUCGAUAAUGUAAAGUAAAAUGACACUAGAGUUAGUGUGAGGCAAAGAAUCAAUGUAAUGUAAAGAGUAAUAACAAUGACUACAGUUAAUGUAAAGUGGGGCAUAAAGAAUAUGCAAAGAGUAAAGAACAUGAUUGCUAGAGAUAGCCAAAAGUAAAGGAAUGUAAAGAACCAUGAUUGCUAGAGUAGCAACAUAAAGUGAUGAAAAGAACACUAGAGUUAGUGUAAUGACAUGAUUGAACUUAUAAUCCUUAGAGUUAAGGAUUCGAUCAUACUUGCUAUGAGUUCCGUGCUCGAGGGCGGUCGCUCCCCUCGGGCGAUGCGCUCCGGAGUUUUGCAUCACGGGUUGGAGUAAACCCGAGGACGGUCUUAGCGGGAGGAAGCUGAGGGCCCGCGAUGAUGGACUUAAUGUGAAGCAAGUUAAUGUGGCGAAACCCCCGGGUUAGCCGUGAGAUUAAGAACAAAGAACAAAGCUUAAAGAAUAAAGAGCAAAGAACCAAGAACUUGCAUAAUCUGCAUGAGUUUUAUGUUCAGCAUACUUCUUGCUUUAUUGUCCAGGCAUAUUAGCAUCAUGUUAUAGAUUGGUUACUAUAUUCAGCUUAUCCUUUCUCUUAUGCCUGAGUUAGUUCUAGUGGAAAAGUCGGUGAUGUUGGGGUCAAACCCAUUGGGAACUUUGUUGUAGUUCUCACCCCACUAUUCCACAGAGCCGGGAUCGAGCGAGCCGGCGAGCGACCGCGGUAAAGGUAUCGCACCAUUGUCAGAGGCCACCAGAGUUGGGUUAUUACAUUUUGUUAAUAGUUUACCCUUUUACCAUCUUUUGUAUUUGAUGAUUUAAGAUGUUGAUGUAUAAACCAAAGAAAGAAAAGAAUGCAAUGUUUAUUUUGAGCCAAUGUGAUGUAAAAAGAAAUGAUGCAAGCAAUGUAAAGAAUCAUGAAUAUACAACUUGGAUGAAAUGGAUGCAUGUAUGUGAUCAAAAGUUGAAUCAUAAUACUUGUGUAGAUGUUUAGUUCCCUUUCUUUCACUCAUGGCUAUUGCUUACCCUCGUGUAAGCCGUUUGUGUAUGUUUUCGCUAGUGCUUUUCUUUGCUUGAAAAUGUACAGGUGAUGAGCCUUGGGCGGAUAGGAAAAACUCUGUCCGUUCAGCGUCUGUUUGACGUGCUCGGGCCGGCCCAAAAUGGUAUCGGUCCCGGGGCAUGACAGAUAUCGUGGUAUCAGAGCUAAGAGUGAAAGAAUAGGAAUAGACCUAGAGACCCUUAGGAUUGGAAGACCUUAAGGAUCUAGAAAACGUGAGUGACGUGGAAUUAAAGUUAGCGAAAGCAUGCGAUUGGGUUAAGUUGGGACGUCUCUAAUGUGAUUAGAGGCUAAGUUUAAUUUUCAUUUGUUUCCUACUCCUUGUUUUGUGUCGGGCGGCCGACAACAUAAUGCUUGGGACAAGAACGAAUGUAUAAGUUGCUUUCGCCGAAUUGGGUAUGGUCAAGUAAUGUUGGUCAUGUAGCUAAUGCGAGUUGCUUCUUUUUAGGAAGCAGUGGCACCUCGUGGACGACCACAGACAAGGUCGAUGCUGGAGGAGCCGAAUACGUAGCCCGAGCGAUCCGGAGCGAGUGGCGACGGAGAGCUUAGGGAGCAGAUGGCCGCGCUUAUUGGCGUAGUGCGGCAACAAGCGGAGUCUGUUCAACGCCAAGGGGAGCAGAUUCAACGGCUCCAGGAGGCCUUGGAGCAUCAGCAGGCGGCGGCCCAGGCGGGUGUCGAGCAUGUCGUGCCCUUUGUGGUAGUGCCGGGCGUGGACGAGGGAGCGGUGGCAGCAGCGGCUGUCCCAGUUACGGUAGUACCGACCGGAUUGGGAACCUCAAAUUCCGAUAGCGCGGCGGUAGAGGCGGAGCGAGAGAGCACGUUGGCGGCUCUCAUUGAGUUCAAGAAGUUCAACCCACCUACCUUCGAGGGCGGUUUGGUGGAGCCGGCGGUCGUGGAGUCGUGGAUUGACUCAAUGGAGACACUCUUCGAGGAUCUCAAUACCUCGGAGAAGGACAAAGUAUACCUCGCCACCCAUUGUUUAGAGAAGGCGGCGAUGGUGUGGUGGAAGCGAGUUAAGCGGGAUUGACCUACCGAUCUUCCGCUUAUGCUUUGGGAGGAGUUCAAGAAAGUGGUGUUUGCGAAUUACUUCCCCGAUACGGUAAAGCAGAGGUUGCAAGAAACGUUCCGCAAGUUGCGAUAGGGCGACCGAUCGGUGGGAGAAUAUGAGCAAGAAUUCUCUCACAUUAUCGACUGCGUUCCCGAUAUUGUUAGAGAUGAUCGGGAUCGGGCUGAUUGGUUCUUGCGAGGACUCCAGCUGAGGAUUUAUGAAAAUGUGCAGAUUCUGAGCUGACGACCUUUGCGGAGGUCUUUGAUAGAGCUUUGUGGGCGGAGCACGGUAGCGCCCAUGUGCGUGAAGAAAGGGAGGCUAUGGCCGAAAGCAAAGAAAAAGGCAAGAAGCGGACGGCGGGCGGUGCCGGGGGUCGGCCAAAUGCCAAGAAACCCCCUUGGUAUCCCCGACAGCAGUCAAGGAACUGGAGACCUCCUCGAUGCAUCAUUUGUGGUGGAGAGCACCGAGUGUCGACUUGCCCGCAGCGAGACGGCAAAUGUUUCAAAUGUGGCCAACCGGGACAUCUUAUCCGGGAGUGCCCGACGUGGACGUCGUCUGCGCCGACGGCGGCAUUAGCACCGUCUACCCCGAGACACUUUGCGGGGUUACCAACAGCGAUGUCGGCUGGGCGCGCGUCAUCACCGCGUCAGCCGGAGGGAUUGAGAGCGCCGAGCGGCCGAGUCUUCGCAGCUCAGGUGGAGGAGCAGCAUCCUGCAGCACCCGACGACGUCGUGGCAGGUAUAAGUGUGAUUAAAGGCACUAGAGCUAGAGCAGUGUUUGAUACAGGCGCAUCUCAUUCAUUCAUUAGCACGUCAUUUGCUAAAACUCAUGGCAUAGAGAUGGUAUACAACGAAGAUUACUGGUGGGUGAACGCCCCAAAACAUUCAUUCAGUGUCCACAACGAGUGUUUGGCGUGUCCAGUGCAAAUAGGCGAUUGGAUUAUGCCGAUUGAUCUGCUGGUGCUAGUUCAGAUGUGGGGAUUCGAUGUUAUCUUGGGGACCAACUGGCUCUCCAAGUACUAUGCGGUUAUAGAUUGUGAAAGCAAGGUGAUCACUUUUCGUGAGCCUAAUCAAGAAGAGUUGGUCUAUCAAGCGUGCAAAAGUAGGUGCUUCGCGGCGACCAUAUCGUCUGUGAGGGCGAGAAAAAUGAUCAAAGGAGGGUGUAAGGCCUAUUUGGCAACCAUGGUGGAUGCUCGAAAGGAGUACAUUGAGUUGGGGGAUAUUCGAGUAGCGUGCGAGUACCCGGAUGUAUUUCCGGCGGAGUUAUCGGGACUGCCACCGGACUGGAAAGUUGAGUUCGUCAUUGACUUGAUUCCCAGGGCGGAAUCAGUUUCGAAGGCUCCGUAUAGAAUGGCACAUGUGGAGUUAAAGGAGCUAAAAGGCCAACUACAAGACUUGCUCGAUAAAGGCUUCGUGAGGCCGAGCGUGUCACCGUGGGGAACUCCGGUGCUAUUUGUGAAGAAAAAGGAUGACUCACUUCGACUCUACUUAGAUUAUCGCGAGUUGAACAAAGUAACGAUAAAGAACAAGUACCCGUUGCCAAGGAUUGACGAUUUAUUCGAUCAGCUGCAAGGGUCCAAGGUGUAUUCGAAGAUUGAUCUCCAAUCGGGGUAUCAUCAACUAAAGAUUAGACCGAAAGAUGUGCACAAGACGGCGUACCGUACGCGGUAUGGCCAUUAUGAGUUCACGGUAAUGCCGUUUGGGCUUACUAACGCCCCGGCAGUAUUUAUGGACUUGAUGAAUCGAGUCUUCAAGCCGUUAUUGGAUCGAUGCGCCAUGGUGUUUAUAGACGACAUGUUGGUUUGCUCAAAGAGUAAAGAUGAGCACGAAGAGCAUCUGAGAGCUGUGUUGCAGAUACUCAGGCAGGAGAAGCUCUAUGCAAAGUUGAAGAAUUGUGACUUUUGGCUAAAGGAGGUCACAUUCUUGGGUCAUGUGGUAUCGGGCGACGGAGUUUCGGUAGACCCGAAGAAAGUAGAGGCAAUAAAGAAUUGGCCUCGCCCGACGAAUGUAGCGGAGAUCCGCAGUUUUCUUGGACUUGCAGGCUACUACCGGUGGUUCGUGGAGGGGUUUGCUAAAAUAACCACUCCACUAACGCGCCUCACGCAUAAAGGAGUAAGAUACGUGUGGAGCGACGAUUGCGAUCGAAGCUUCGAAGAGUUAAAGAGCAGGUUGACGUCGACCGCGGUGCUUGCCUUGCUGACUCCGGGGGAGACUUUUGUAGUGUAUAGUGAUGCUCUUAUGUUGGUCUCGGAUGUGUAUUAAUACAAAAUGGGCGAGUCAUUGCGUAUGCAUCGCGCCAGUUAAAGAGCUACGAGAAGAACUACCCGAUUCACGACCUCGAGUUAGCCGCGGUGAUCUUCGCGCUAAAGCUUUGGAGGCAUUACUUGUAUAGUGAACAUUGCGAGGUCUACACAGAUAAUAAAAGCCUAAAGUACUUGUUCACCCAGAAGGAAUUGAAUAUGCGCAAGCGGCGGUGGUUGGAGUUGUUGAAAGACUAUGAUGUCACCAUACUAUACCACCCCGGGAAAGCCAAUCUCGUGGCCGAUGCUCUAAGUAGAAAAUCAGCGAAGAACUUAGCGAUGGCAAUUACGCCUCAACCACUAUUGCAAAAGGAGAUGCAAAGGCUUGGGUUGGAAGUGGUGGCGCCGGGAGUGCCGGCUGCACUUGCCGCAUUAGUUGUGCAACCGACCCUAUUGGAAAGGAUCAAGGAGUUACAAGCUUCGGACCCUUAUCUCCAAAAGGUACGAGGUGAAGUUGAGAAUGAUAGUGCCAAGGAUUUUGGCAUUGGAGCCGACGGCACACUUCGAUUUCGAAAUCGAUGGUGUGUGCCUAAAGAUGAUGAUGUUCGAAGGGCGAUUAUGCAAGAAGCGCACCAAUCCCUUUAUAGCAUACACCCCGGCGGCACUAAAAUGUACAAGGAUCUAAAAGAGCAUUAUUGGUGGCCGGGUAUGAAGAGAGACAUUGGAGAGUUCGUGGCGCAAUGUUUAACGCGCCAAAAGGUAAAAGCCGAGCGCCGAUUUCCGGCGGAAAAGCUACAAAGUCUAUCUAUACCCGUUUGGAAAUGGGAAGAUAUAGCGAUGGACUUUAUUACUGGAUUGCCUCGAUCACAAGGCGGACACGAUGCGAUAUGGGUGAUAGUGGAUCGAUUGACAAAGUCGGCACACUUCUUGCCGAUACAUACUACGUGGUCGGGAGACAAGCUAGCUCAAGUGUAUCUCGACGAGGUUGUGAGACUUCAUGGGGUUCCGGUAUCAAUUGUAUCGGAUCGAGACCCCAGGUUCACAUCCCACUUUUGGAAGAGCUUGCAAAACGCGUUAGGCACACGGCUCAACUUUAGCACGGCAUUUCAUCCUCAGAGUGAUGGACAGUCGGAGCGGACAAUACAGAUCCUCGAGGACUUGCUUCGAGCGUGUGUGCUAGAUUACAAGGGAGGUUGGCAUGAUUUCUUGCCAAAGGCAGAGUUCGCCUAUAAUAACAGUUAUCAAGAGAGCAUAGCGAUGGUGCCAUUUGAGGCACUAUAUGGACGUAAGUGUCGUUCUCCUAUUCAUUGGAGCGACAUGGGCGAGAGAAUGGCUCUUGGCCCGGAUGUGGUAUGGGAGGCAGAAGAAAAGGUUCGUCUUGCCCGUCAACUGUUAGUGACGGCGCAAUCUCGGCAAAAGAGUUAUGCCGAUAAGCGAAGAAAGGAUUUAGAGUUCGCGGUUGGAGACCGCGUAUUUUUGAGAGUAUCGCCGAUGCGAGGAGUUAAACGUUUUGGGGUCCAUGGGAAGCUAAGUACCCGUUAUGUUGGACCAUUCGAGAUAUUGGAGCGUGUGGGUGCGGUAGCGUACAAGCUCGCAUUACCACCGAGACUCGCGGGAGUUCAUAAUGUUUUUCAUGUGUCAAAUCUCCGAAAGUAUAUCCGAAACUCGGCACAUGUGUUGGAGUACGAGCCCGUGGAGUUACGUGAGGAUAUGUCUAAUGAGGAGUACCCGGUGUGCAUCCUCGAUCGAGAAGAAAGAAAGCUGCGGAGUCGCAGAAUUCCUUAUGUGAAGGUCUAAUGGAGCAAUGAUGCUGUGCGAGAAGCCACUUGGAAGCUCGAGGAGACCAUGCGGAGAGAGUAUCCGCAUCUAUUUGAGUCGACAAGUUAAGGUAUGCGUAAUUUCGCGUACGAAAUUAUUUUAAGGGGUGGAGAAUGUAAUAUACCGAAAAUUCGAAAAAUAAAUAUCGAACUUUAAUCAAAUUGACCAAAGUGCGAGGAUGGUACACUUCGGAAAGUCCGAAGGUGUUAAAAUAAUCAAAAGGGCGUUAUGGAAGGUUUUCGAGAGCUAGAGAAUCAAAAAUCUGCAAACUGCAGUUUUUGAGCUCUCGGGGACCGGUCCCUGGUGGGAGAGAUCGGUCCUCGAACGCAUGAGAAAUGAGAAAGGCCAAAAAUCGGCUGAGUCCUAGAAAACCAGCUCUCGGGAACCGGUCCCUGCGGGGAGAGACCGGUCCCCGAGAGACCGGUCCCCCAGUGAGAGACCGGUUGCAUCGCGUGUGCGCCCUGCUGCCCGCGGGGAGAGCUCUCUGGGACCGGUCCCAAGUCGGGGAGACCGGUCCCCGAGCCCGAAAUCUGCCCAGUUUGAGCAGUUUAAUAAAAUAAAAGCUGAGGGGCCUAAUUGCAAUUAUGCAACCCAUAGAAUGAAAUAGGAGGGGAUAUGAGAUAUUUCUCUCAUUCUCACCCUCUCACACUCUCUCAUCUCUCUUUCUCUCUCGAGAAGACAAAGAAGAGAAGAAAGGAAAGGAAAGAAAGAGAAGAAGAAGGAGAAAGAAAGGAAAAGAAAGGCAAGGAAGGUGGAGAGGAAGCCAUUGGAGUGAAGCUAUCUCCUCUUCUUCCCCUUUUGAGCAAGCUUAGAGGUAAGCCUUGCCCCUUUUCAUGAUAAAUCCCAAACUAGGGUUUAGGUAAGCUUAGAAUUGGGUUUUAUAGAACCUUUUGAGCCUUUGAAGCUUUCUUUUGCUUCUUAUAGAGAUCUACACCAUGGGUGGUGUGUGUGGUGAAGUUUGAAGGAGAGUUUCAAUCCCUCUCAUGGUAGAAUCCAAACUAGGGUUUGGAUUGAACUAAAGAUGGCUUUAAUGGACUUCCUAGAGUAGAAUAAAGUUUCUUUUGCUUCCCAAUGAGAUCAAACCCUAGGUUUGAUAUAUGCUAUGGAGCUAGGGCACCCAAACUGGGGCUUUUGCUUGCGAGGGUUCCAAAGUGAAAUUGACCCACUAGACACCUAAUUGGGGGUAUUUCCGACGCGUUGGUGCACUCGGAUUAAAGUUACGAAAAGUCUAUAAAAAGUUAUGGGCAAAAUGGCCUAAGUUGGCUUCGUUUUCCCGCAGGUGAAGAACGAGGAGUCUAAAAAUUCCAAGAAAAUCAUCGGAGCAUCUUUGAGAACCUACGAGGUGGGUGGUGCUAUCCAAACUCGUUGAACUUCCUUCUAUGCCUAAUGUGUCAUUCAAUUGAGCAUAUGUUAUAUACAUUGUUGCAUGCAUUGUAGGGAAAAUGUGAUGAGAGUAAUGUGAUGUUGCAUAUUGUGAGUACAAUUUGCCUAAUGAGAUGCUUGAGAACUCCUAUGAAUGUUUAAUCCUAUGUAUGCAUGAGAUAAAAUGUGAGCACUAAAGUGAGGCAAAAGAACAGAGUGACACAAUGAGACAGAUCGAGUGGCAUUCGAUAAUGUAAAGUAAAAUGACACUAGAGUUAGUGUGAAGUAAAGAAUCAAUGUGAUGUAAAGACUAAUAACAAUGACUAAAGUUAAUGUAAAGUGGGGCAUAAAGAACAUGCAAAGAGUAAAGUACAUGAUUGCUAGAGAUAGCCAAAAGUAAAGGAAUGUAAAGAAUCAUGAUUGCUAGAAUAGCAACAUAAAGUGAUGAAAAUAACACUAGAGUUAGUGUAAUGACAUGAUUGAACUUAUAAUCCUUAGAGUUAAGGAUUCGAACAUACUUGCUAUGAAUUUAUUCUUGACAAUGUGUUUACUGUCAAGAAUAAAUUAAUACCAGCAGCUGUGCCGCAUCGUGUGCCCCGCUGUGGCACCACAAUGAGUUCCAGCUCUCAAAACGCCAUUCCUUCAAAUCAAUUGAUAGUAAAUGCCAAUGGCAAUUACUAUGCAAAGGAAUAAGUACAAAUCUAUUCUUGCUGCAGGUAUGUGCAAUUAUUUUUUCCAGAAAGUGUCGUAUAGAUGCAGAUCCAAAAGCCACAUCCUUGACAAAAUCAGCUGUUAGUGCCUCAUCCUUUCCAAUUUCCUGCAUCAUAUUGAGUACGUGCAUCUGCAUUGAAAAAGGAAUCAAGUUAGCAAGAUGCCUGACGAAAAGUUGCAGGAAACUCAAAUGCAAUUAUUUCGACGGUUAAUAUUUUCACAGAUUAUGGAACAUGACCUAAUAAAUAAUGUUCAACAAAUUGGGAUUCGGACUUCAACAGAUUUUUAUCUUCCAUUUUAACUCGCUUUUAUAUUUAUUUUAGUUUGCUUGAUAGGAAAAUAGAGAAUAAGCGAGAAAUAGAGAACAACUAAUCUAAUAGUGAAAGCAUCAAACUCACCGCAACUUCACUUUGGCAGAAAAUACCAGGUUGACUAAAUUUAUGUACACCCAUGCAAUCCAGCUUAUCAAUUAUAUGAAAAUACACAUUAAUCACCUAAAUAAGAAAGUCAGCAAAAUAAAGAGAAUCAGAAUAUAAUAUAAAUAUAUAUAUAUAGAGUUCGGCUACUAUGCUAUCGGUAGCACAGAGCGCUCCGUGCUACCAAGUUGUUUUCGAUGAUGCGGCUUCUGAAUCGACGAUCGGCUCCGUUAGACUUGAUCUACAGUAUUGAAAGUAUUUGGAAACUAAAUUUCAAAUUUUUUCGACAUCAUUUGACUAGUGAUCAAAAGAUCUCAAAAUUGACAAUUUUAAUGGCCGAUGUGGUGUGUUUGUGAGUUUAACGGUGUAAAACAAUCCAAAUGGGAUGAAAAUUUUAUAGAAAAUUCUUUUCACUACUUAGAGUAAGAUCACUAUAUCUAAUUUUGAAUUUAAAUCUUUUAUCAUCAUUUUUUAUGAGAUUUUUAUUUUCAGCCGUUCAAUUUUAGACUACUUGUUUGAUAGGUAAAUGAUAUCGAAAAAUUAUGAAAUUUAGUUUCUAAAUACUUUCAAUGUGGUAGAUCAAGUCUAAGGAAGCCAAUCGUCGAUUUGGAAGCCGCAUCAUCGAAAAACAACUUGGUACCACAGAGCGCUCCGUGCUACCGAUAGUAUAUAGGCUAGCUCUUCUAUCAUAUAUAUAUAUGAUAUAUAUAUAGCUAUAUAAUAGAUACAUAUAUAUGUAUACAUGUAUAACAUCGUACAUCGUAUACCGAUGUAAAUACAUGUACAUCGUAAAUACAUGUAUACAUGUACAUGUAUACAUGUAUACACCUGGUACUGUAUACUGUUAUGUAUAUGUAUGUAUAUAUAUAAUGUACACAUGUAUAUAUUAAUACAUGUAAUUAUACAUGUAUACGAUGUAUAUAUAUACAUGUAUAUAUACAUGGUAUGACAUGUAUAUAUACAUGUAUAUCAAGUAUCAUAUACGUACCAGUACAUAUAGCAUACCAUAUACACUACAUGUAUACAAUGUAUAUGAGUGGUACAUGUAGUACAUAUAUUACACUGUACACUAUAAUACAUGUACUACAUGUAUGUAUCUGUAUGUAUAUGUAUGUAUAUAUAGGUAUAACGGCCGCUGUCCAUGUUAUCACAUGUCAUACAUGUACUACAUGUACAUGUAUACAAGUGUAUAAACCUGUAACAUAUAUCAUAGUAUAUAUAUUGUACAUAUACUACAUAUAUAUAUAUACUUUAUACAUGUACUAUAUGUACAGAUAUCAUGUAUAUAUGUACAUCUAUAUAUCCUAUAGUAGUGUAUUUUAUUAUAUAUAUAUAUAUAUAUAUUAAUAUAUAUAUUAUAUAAUUAGUAUGUAUAAUAUGUAUGUAUGUAGUAUAUAUAUAUAUGUAUGUAGUGUAUGUAUGUACUUGUAUGUAAUGUGUAUGUAAUAUAUAUAUAUACAUGUAUGUAAUAUAUAUAUAUACAUACACAGUACAUACACAUCAAUACCAUACAUACACAUACAUUACUAUAUAUACUAUAACAUACAUAUAUAACCAUUAUAACAUGACAUAAUAUUAUAUAGUAUAUAUACCAUACGAUGUAAUAUAUGUACUAUAUAUAUAGUAUACAUACAAUACUACACUAUACAUACAAUACAUACAUCAUAUAACAUACUACAUAUAUAAACGAUACAAUAUACAUACAUAUAUAUGUAUAUUGUAUAUGUAUAAUAUAUGUAUAUAUAUGUAUAUGUAUAGUAUAUGUCUGUAUACAUAUAAUACUACUAUAUAUAUAUAUAUAUAUAUAUAUAUAUAUAUAUAUAUAUAUAUAUAUAUAUAUAUAUACAUACAUAUACAUACAUAUACAUAUAUAUACAUAUAUAUGUAUAUAUGUAUAUAUGUAUAUAUAUAGUGUAGGUCUUGUGUGCUAUUAGGAGUACGGAGGCCUUCGUGCUCCUAAGCUGUUUUCGAUGAUGGAGCUUCCGAAUCGACGAUCGGCUCCGUUAGAUUUGAUCUAGCGUAUUUGAAGUAUCUAGAAAAUAAAUUUUAUGAUUUUUUGAUAUCAUUUACCUAGCGAUCGAAAGGGUUCAAAAUCAACGGCUGAAAUUAAAAAUAUCACAAAAAGCGGUGAUAUAGCACUAAAAUUUUCAAUCUGAGAUAUUGAUCUUGCUGUAAAUAGUAUAAAGAAUUUUCUAUCAAAAUUCCAUCUGAUUUGAAUAUUUCUACACCGUUAAACUUGCAAACGGUAUACAUCAACCAUUAAAAUUUGUUGAUUUUAAACCUUUUCGAUCACUAGGUAAAUGAUAUCGAAAAAUCGCAAAAUUUAUUUUCUAGAUAUUUCAAAAUACUAGAUUAAGUCUAAUGGAGCCGAUCGUCGAUUCGAAAACUCUAUCAUCGAAAACGACUUAGGAGCACGAAAGCCUCCGUGCUCCUAAUAGCACACAAGACCUACUCUCUCUCUCUCUCUCUCUCUCUCUCUCUCUACAUAUAUAUAUAUAUAUAUAUAUAUAUAUAUAUAUAUAUAUAUAACAAGCUUCAAGUGCUAAGUACAAUACAUAAUCUGUGACGGCACUAACCUCGUCGCGCGUCGGGCCUCCAAAUAAGUAAUCAAGGAGGACUUGACUGCUAACAGAAGACGAAUCUAACCCUUUCAUAUCAUCUUGCCAUAUGGGUCCCCUAUUCAAAAAAUAAAAUAUGUAACAAUACAUUAGAAAAGAAUUGCUAAAUAGUUAAGCUCGAAUAUUUUACCAAUUAUAUUUAAUGCUAACUAACCACUACAUGUACAUAAAGAUUGACGAACUUUGUAGUAGGUCGGAAUAUUAGAAAAUUUAUUGCAUCCCGCUCAUCUUUGGGAAUAUUAUCUCUUCCGGGGUAGUUGCGAUGAUGCUCAAUAAUUAACCCAGGCAACUCAACCGGCGCAUGGAUAUCAUCUAUCUCAACAGCUGGUAAUGCACUUUCUGAUUGUCCAAGUUCAGUUUUCAUUUCCUAUUAUGAACCAAAUCACGUGCAAAAGUCAUAUUUUAUAUGAUAUAAGUUUAUUCACACUAAAAUUAAUCAAUUACAUCAUAUAUUACCAUAAGGACCUCUGCAAUGGUCCCUGACACGGUAUUUGAUGCAUCUUCACCAGCUUCGACCCCCCCGAUCUUCAAAGGAUGCCGCUGCUUUCUUCUAUAAUGGCGAGUCAUACGACGUUCGCCCGGCGUAAAAUCAGGGGACAUUCUUUUCUGUUUCCUUUCACGCCCUUUAAGUCGUUCAAUUCUAGAAGGAAUGUCCCUUAUUACAGUAUCGCCAACAUCCACUCUCUGUUGGCUGCUUUCUUCAACCACUGUGCCUUAGCCACCUUGAGGUGGAUCAACACCGGCUUCGGCUCCGCCUUCUACAGCAGUAGCUGUGGUGGCCCUAGAGAGUUGCACUUCCAGAUUGGCAUCCUUUUCUUUUAACAUCGCAUUCUCCUCUUCCAAAAACUUAUUCCGAUCUUCUAGUUUAUUUACAGCUUGCUCCAAUUUAUUCAAUAAGGAGCUGAUAUUAUUGCUACUUUCACCAACAGUAGCUGUUUCCAGGGGGCCGCUGCUUGUACCACCUUUGAGAGAAAUGUACGAAAGGACAAUAUCAUAUUUUGACAAAAAAAACUCUAACCAAAUAAUAUUUUCUACUAACUAAAUUCAGCAAUACCUAUUCCGGUAGACUGCCAUGUAACGUACGGUUAAUUAUUGAGAUAUCAUUAAAGCGGUAGGUAAAUGUGGGUACAACCUGCCAUAAAGAUAAAUCUAUUUAAUAAGUAUUAUAAGAAAAUUUUAUAAAACUACAUUCAUUACAUAAAUAAUUACCUCUGUAGGAGUAUAGCUCUGCAGUUUUUUUAGGAGCUUCUUGUAACUCCUAUAGGCUCUUGAACCCUUCCAUUUUCUCAUCCGAGGGAUAGCCUUGUCUCCAUCGGAAUUACCCAACUCCUUUAUAUGCUCGUAAGCCCAACUCUACAAGUUUAUCAUGAUUUAACAAUAUUAUUAUCAUAAAAAAAAGUGCAAAAGAAAUUAUAUUGACAUACUAAUUUAUGAUAUUACUUACCAGAAAUGCUAUUGUACAGCUGUCGAUAUAGCCGCCAACUCUUUCUUGGCCGCUAUUUCGACGCUUCACACAUGGGGAGGCUCUGGAGAUCAAACUUACAAGAUAAUUACAUACAACAUGACCCCAGGCAUAUUCCCCUAUUCUAUGUAUAUUAUCUAUAUAUCUAUAUAGUCCUUUCGGCACAUUAUAGUGGCUGGUAGGAAAGAGGAUGGUCGCAAAUACGUAUAAUAUAAAUAUACGAACAAAAUCAGCUGCCAUCUCCUUUCCAUUUUGACCAGCAAGACUGUACAAAAUAUGUCGUAAUUUUGACCUAUCGGCAUGCUGAUAGUCACUAUUCAAGUAUUUAUCAAGAGUGCUCGAUUUUACACCCUUGUUCUGCCAUUCUAUUGGUUCCCCCUGUGCUGGCAGCCCUACCGAAAUGGAGAUCUCCUCUGAAAUAAGGGGAAGAAAGGUUUCUCCAAUUCUUAUACCUCUUCUCUCUUCGUCCAAAUAACUGAGGAGGGAAUCGACUAACACAAGAUCUUGCUUAAUUGGAGGCAAGUCGAGAUAAAAAAAGAAUAGAGUAGUCUUCAGAAGUGUCAUCUGUUCAUCGGACAUAACAUCAUGUAACGCUGGGCCAGCUGUCUGAAAUCUGCCCACAGUCUUCGGCAACACUGAAACACACAUUGUGGUGUGCAGAUGAACUGGGUAAGAUCUGCCCACAACAAGCUCGAUGGUCAGCCUUUUAGCUUUGGAUGGCCUACCUGUUCUUUUCUCUGCAGAAUGCGAAGAUGUGCCUUGACCACUUGUAGUGGCCUUCUUGCCCGACCGGCUUGACGACUUCGCUCUGGUGGAAACCAUGUUUUCAACUGCAUUUUAUUCAACACAAGUCAGCACAUAACUUCAUUCUAAAAGUAACUAAAAAAUAAAUUAAUUAUGUUCAUCCUAUGAAUGCAGAAUAUGGCAUAAAAGUGUUCUAUUAAGAAUGCAAACGCAUACAUGUUCGCAAUAGAGUAGGAAUGCAAACCUAUUAAGAGUGUUCUAUUAACCUUUACAAGUGUUCUAUUAUGGCAUAAAAGUGUUCACAAUUCUAAAGCUGAUAGGACUGUUCUAUUACACCAUAAAAGUGUUCUACUAUGUGAUAAGAGGGUAAGAUUGCAACGCAUAUAUGUUCGGAAGCAUAAAAAUAAAAAAAGUGAUAUACAUGCAGUGUAUAAUAGAGUAAGAUUGCAAUGCAUACAUAUGAGGGUAAGAUACAUGUUCGCAAUAGAGUAGGAAUGCAAACCUAUUAAGAGUGUUCUAUUAACCUUUACAAGUGUUCUAUUAUGGCAUAAAAGUGUUCAUAAUCCUAAAUCUGAUAUUACUGUUCUAUUACACCCUAAAAUUGUUAUAUUAUGCGAUAAGAGGGUAAGAUUGCAACGCAUACAUGUUCGGAAGGAUUAAAAUGAAAAGAGUGAUAUACAUGUAGUGUAUAAUAGAGUAAGAUUGCAAUGCAUACAUAUAAGGAUAAGAUUCAUAUUCGCAAUAGAGUAGGAAUGCAAAUCUAUUAAGGGUGUUCUAUUAACCUUUACAAGUGUUCUAUUAUGUCAUAAAAGUAUUCACAAUCCUAAAGCUGAUAGGACUGUUCUAUUACGCCCUAAAAAUGUUCUAUUAUGCGAUAAGAGGGUAAGAUUGCAACGCAUACAUGUUCGGAAGCAUAAAAAUGAUAAUAGUGUUCUAUUAAGCUGUAAGAGUGUUCUUUUAUGGCAUAAGAGUGAGUGUCAGAUUGUCAAGCAUACAUGUUCGCAAACACAAAUUGUAUAAGAGUAUUCUACUAAGAGUGUUCUUUUAUCGCAUAAGAGUUUAAGAUUGCAACACAUAUAUGUUCGCAAGCACAAAAGUGAUAAAAGUGUUCUUAUAAGCUCUAAGAGUGUUCUUUUAUGGCAUAAGAGUGUCAGAUUGCAACGCAAACAUGUUCACAGCCAACUAUACAUAUACAAAUACAAACACAUUAAUUAUUAAUACAAAUAUACAAGUAUGCUAUUUCGUUUCAACCAGUGUAGCAAACUAACUCCUAAAACUAUAUAGCACCGUUCUACCAAUGCAUAAGAGAAUAUACUAGUAACCCUAAACAUGUUUUCUAUACCUUUUUGUUAUUCAAACGAAAUCAAACUUUACCCUAAACAUUAAUUUGUAUAUUUGGAAUGAAUACAGUUUUCUAUCAUAAACCAAGCAAAAUUUUAUGAAAUGCAUGAAAUAUAUGUGUGUUACUGUGGAAGCAUCUUCUAAACCCUAAACCCUAAUCCUAAUCAUAAAUCUUUUAUUUUUAAAAAUGCAACAAAAAAUAUAAUAUACCAGCAGUGUUCUAAAAAAAAUGAAUCAGCUAGUCGGUGACGUAAUCCGGAGCACGCAAAGACAAACUGAAGUUGCAACCCUAAACCCUCAAAAUAUAAAUUUUAUAUUAAAUUAAAAAUUAAAAAUAAAAGAUUAUAGGAAUUUAAAAAAUUCCCUGUUUGAGUUGAAUCCUCUGCUUCGGUUGUGGCCGAAUUAGCUCUGAAAUCAUUCCCAAUUUCGUACGCCCACGAGUGAAGGAAUGCAUAACAGGUACUGGGAUGGACAUGGGAGCAGUUGAGAGGCGACCUCCUACCAAUGGAGAGAGGUGAGGGCGAGAGACACCUUCGAGAUGGCUUGGGACAGGAGCUUCUGCCGAGGAAGAUAAUGUGUGGAAUGAGCGCUGCCGAACUUUUGCCCGAUGGAGUGCCCUGCGAGCGAGAGAGAAAGAGAGGAGAGCAAGAGAGCAAGAGAGAGGCGAGGAAGCGAGAGAGAGAUGAGGGAGCAAGAGAGAGCGAGAAACAGAGAUAGCGAGAGGGAGGUGUGCGGGAGAGAGAAGUGUAGUAGUAGGGUUUGGGUUAGCUUUAGCAAGAAAUAAAAACGGGAGUGAACUUAGCUGCUACUGUGCUAGUGCCCAAAUAUCAGCCGUCGGAUCCCAAGGGUGUAGGAUGUACACCUUCCUAAAGGAGUCCAGCUAGACUUUUCCAUUUUUAUAUGGUGAUUAGGAUUAUAUAUGGGAAAUAAAAAAAAGUGAAGUUGUUAGGAUUAUAUAUGGAUUAUUAGAAUUUUUAUUUGAUUAUUAGAAUUAUAUGAAUAGAUUAUUAGAAUUUUUUGGGGAAACUUCAAAUACCCCCCUAUGGUUUCGUACUUUCUCACUUUAGUACCCUGUGGUUAAAGUGUAUUAAGUUAGUACCCUAUGGUUUCGUACCUUCUCACUUUAGUACCCUGUGGUUUCAAGUAUAUCAAGUUAGUACCCUGUGGUUUCACACUUUCUCACUUUAGUACCCUAUGGUUUAAUAUUUCGUUAAAUUAUAUACCCUGAAAUGGAUAAUAAAAAGAAAAAAUUAAAACUACAGGGUACUAACUUGAUACAAAAAUGAAACCACAGGGUACUAGCUUGAUACACUUGAAACCACAGGGUACUAAAGUGAGAAAGUGUGAAACCAUAGGGUACUAGCUUGAUACACUUGAAACCACAGGGUACUAAAGUGAGAAAGUGUGAAACCAUAGGGUACUAGCUUGAUACACUUGAAACCACAGGGUACUAAAGUGAGAAAGUGCGAAACCACAGGGUACUAACUUGAUACACUUUAAACCACAGGGUACUAAAGUGAGAAAGUGCGAAACCACGGGGGGUAUUUGAAGUUUCCCCAAUUUUUUUUGUUGUUAAGAUUGUAUCAGAUUUGCUGAAAUUUUUAUUUGGUUGUUAUGUUUAUAUGAGAAAUAAAGAGAAAGAGAAAGACCGUGAAUGAAUCAUCGCUUUUAUAAAAAAUUAGAUAGACAGUGAAUCAUUUACCGCUUUCAUGAAGACAGUAGACGUCAUUAAGAGAAAAUUUUAUCUUGACUCCUACAUAGAGAAAAUUUCAUCUUGAAUCCUAUACGGUAAAAAGAGAGUUAGUUUGCCAAUUAUAUUUUUAUAAAAUUAUUUAUUUCAUUAAGAAAUUUUAUAGGGUUAUUUAAAAAAAAACGGCUGGCUAGACGACUCAGCGGGCUUUUUUUGCAAAUGGCCCACCGAAAAAAUUUUAUUUUAAAACUAGCCCCAAUAAAUUUAUAAUUACAAAAAUAGUCCUAUCCCUGCCAUGCAGGCGCCACGCAAGCACCAGGUGGGCGGGUUGGGAGCCUGCUUGGCAAGUUGAAUAUGGUGAAUCAAACACGGUGAAUGGUUCGUGUUUUAUAUUUAUAGUCCUCUUCUUCUCUAUUAGAGAUGUCAACGGCUCAGGUUUGGAUCGUGUUUUCAAAAAUCCGAGUCCAAAUUCGAAAAUCAAAUUAAAACUCGAAUCCGAAUCCGAACCCGGCGGGUUUUAAAAAUCCAUACCGAUAUCCAUACCCGACCAAAAACCUGAAACCCGAACCCGGACCUGAACUCGGCGAAUUUUAUAUAAAUUAUUAAAUAUUUUAUAUAUUGUAUAAAUAAAUAAAAAUAAAUUAUGCAUAUAAAUAAUUUAUUCGGGUUUGGGUUCGGAUAAUAUUCUGGAUAUCCAUACCCAUUGAUAUCCCUACUCCCUAUUUCUCUUUUCAAUAUUUAAAUUGCGAAUAAUACAUAUUUUCUCCAGACACGGUAAACCAUUUACCGUGUUUGGACAUGCUGAAUGGUUCACCGUGUUCAACUUAACAUCUUGACCUAGUCCCGCUUGCGUGGUGCUGACGUGGCAUAUGCUUGGAAGGGUCAGGACAAAAAAUGCAAAUAUAAAUUUGCUGGGGCUAUUUUUAAAAUAAAUUUUCUGUAGGGGCUAGAUGCAAAAAAAGCCCCGACUCAGCCUUUUACUAGGGAUGCAAACGGAUUCGAGUUGGUGGAGCUCCCGCCCCGAUCCGCCCAGACGGGGCAGUAAAUGGGAGAAAAUAAAUGGAUUCGGGGCGGAAAAAGACGGAUUUGGGGCAGGAAACGGGAAAAAUUUUGACCCGCCCCGAAUCCGUCCCGCCAUGAUCCGCCCCGAAAAUUAUUUAUAUUUUAAAAAAAUAUUCCUAAAAAUUAAUGUAUUUACAAAAAAGUUCAAAAUACAAAUAAAUUAGCACUCUCAUUUCUAUGUAUUUGAAACUUUUGAAUUUUGUUUUGAAUUGUGAUUGCUAUUUUUUAUUUUUAUAAUUAAUAUUGUUAAAUUAUAAAUAUAAUAUUAUUAAAAAUUAUUAAUUUAUAUUUUACAGAAUAUUAAUAAUAUUAUAAUUUUAUAAAAAAUAUUAGUUGGCGGGGCAGAUUCGGGGCGCCGACGGGAGGCGGGUUAUAAGGCGGGACAGAUUAUGGGAUGUAUUUUUUAAGUCUGUCACAAAUUCGGGGCGGAAGGCGGGAUCUAUGUUAGUAAAUUCGUGAAUUAUUCGCGAAUUUUUGAAAAAACGAAUUAAACGACCGAAUUUGUAUUUUUCCCAAAAAUUCAGAAAAAAACGUGAUUUUUUUAAUAAAAAAAACGUAUUCGCGUAUUAUACGCGGGUUGAAUAAUUCGGAGCGAAAAAAACGCAGCCCGCUUGCGCUCCUGCGAGGCCCGCGCGCCCGCGAGGCCUGCGAGGCCCGCGCGCGCCUGCAAGGCCCGUGAGGCCUACGAGGCCCGUGCGCGAGGCCAGCGCGCGCCUCGAGCGCCUCAAGCGCCCGUACCUUGAUCCUUAUUAAUUAACUUAAUUUAAUUAAGUUACAAAAAAAAAACUCUUAAUUUAAUUACAGGAUUUUUUUUUUCAAAUUUUUUACUUAAUUAACUUAAUUUUGUAUCUUUUUAUUCUUAUAUUUUUAAGAAAUAUGAGUAUUUAUACUAAUAACAUAAAUCUUGAGAGAAAAAAAAUUUAAUUUAAUAGCCGAAUUUUUAAUCCCGAAUUUUUAAUUGAUGAACAUAUAAUAUCCGUAUAAAUCACGUAUUCGAAUGUAAUUGGGAAUCUUAUUUUUUUAGUCAUAUUUUUUAACGAAUUUAAAAUUUAGAAACGAAUUUUAUACGAAUUAUAACCGUAUCGAAUUUUGUCGAAUCCGAAUUAACUAACUAUUAUGGGCGGCCAGGCGGGUUUGAAUUUUCUAGUGGGGCGGAGGCGGGGAGGCGGGCGGGGCUCCGCCCCUAGAUCCGCCCCGUUUGCAUCCCUAUCCUUCACCGUUGCCCCAAUCCUCCACGUCGUCCCGAAUCACACGGGGGCAGCUCGUCUCGGCAUCUCUGCCCUCGUCUCUAGUCGCCCCCUCUUCGCGAGCGCGGGAACUGCCCUUGUCCCUUACGUUUCCUUCAAUGGCAUCGGCGUUUUGGAGAAGCUCUGUCCGGAGGAUCUCCAAGUCGGUUCUUGAGCCGUUGAUCCAUCGGCGGAGGUGGUAUUCGAGCAAGCCCCGGCGAUUCGCGGCUCUUUGGGGGAAUGGGGACUACGGGAGGUUAGGGCUCGGGAGCCUGGAGUCGCGCUGGAAGCCCACUGUGUGCCCCUUCUUCCGCGAUGAUCACCCGGUCUCCAUCGUGUGCGGUGGUGCCCACACCUUGUUCCUUACUGGUAUCAAUUCCAUUCCCCUCUUUCCAACCUAAGUCUUGUUCGCUACAUUCUUUUCCUCAUAUCUGUUGUGCACGAAAGGAAAAAGAAAUAAAGCAGAUUUGUAAAUUUCUAGUCAAAGCAUAUCAGUUCUUUUCAUCAUGAUUUGAGUUUUCUAUCUGGCUUAAAUCGAUUAUUAUUUUCAUUCAGAUUCGACCGACGAUCUUGCAUAUACCGUUUUGAAGUUGAUACCUUAAACAUUUUUUAAUUUGAUUUACCCAUCACAACUUACUAACCAUUUAUUAGUAAUUUUAGAAAUUCUGAUAGAAUCAACUGCCCACAAGAGAUAUAUGUGACCUUCUUUCUGACUGAAACAAUUCUUGAUGUCGAGCAUCUCUUAUGGGUGAAUUACAAAAAUUGCUAACGUUAGGAACUAAAUCAAACUUAGUAAGUAGAGGGGGUGUAAAUCAAAUUUAAAAAAGUUCAGAAGGUCAAUUUCAAAAUGGUUAACCUUUAGGACGUGUCUAUACUUUUUAACCUAAAAAAUUUCGAUCUGUUUGGUUAAGUGAGUGACUAUGUUGCGUAUAUAAAUUAUUUGAAUGUUACACCCCAAAUCCGAGACAUAACAGAUGCCGCAUAUAUGCAAUUAUUUAAUCACAGACACGCUAGGCAACAAGACAUGUAGAUAUCGAGCAAAAUAUUCAUCUCGAAAUCAUACUAAAUAGUUAUCAGAUUUGAAAUCCACAAAACUAAAUCUAUGGCUGAAAGUUCCACAAAUACUCAACAAACUAAAUUCAUAAGAUUUCGCAAUAAUUCUAACAAAGCAAAUAUACUUUAUGCCAGUCCCAAAUUAAAUUUUAAGCUAACUAAACUAUCUAAUUUUAAUAACUAUAAUUCAAAAACAAAAGGAAUCUCUGCAAUUAGCGAUCUCUUGGUCGCAUUCCCCACAAGUUCAUCAGACUUAGUACCUGAGUAAGCAACCACACGCUACAUUAGUUGGAUUAAGCAUGCAACAAAAUGUUUUCUAAAUAUUCAGAUAUAAUUCUCAUACUAAAAAUAUGAUAACGAUGAUUGGGUUUAGCAAAGUUUCACAAAUCUCAUUUCAAAAGUUUGAGUUCCCAAGUAAGCAUAUUUUACAAAGAACAAACAGGAACGGAAUUUAAACAAAAGCAUUUUUAUUCUACAUUAGAAUUUAAAAUGAUAGUCUCUUGUAACUAGGGACUUGUUAGCAAAGUCCUAAACACACAUCACAGGCGCCUGAAGGCACAAUAGCAAAGCAAAACCACCCGAAAGUGUAUUUAAAUAGCAUUUGAAGGUGCAUCACAAAAUCGAAGCUAGCUUCUAUUAUAAAAUUCAUGUCUACAAGGCCAACAUAGUUAUAGCAAAAUACCAAGAGACGUCACAUUUUGGGAUUAUUUAUGCAGUCAACAUUUAAAAGAGAGCAAGUUAUCGAAUACUAAAUUUUUACCAAAUAAGCACAAUUUCUAAAAUACACAUUUUUUGAAAGUGCACAACAAUUAGAGCAAAACCUUUUAGAAAUCAUAUUCUUUCAACAAUUUGUAAUGUAUAUAAACAUGCUUAACCUUUAUUUUCAAAAGAAAACUAUGCAAAAGGGAUUUUGUUUAUUACCAUAACAUAUUUCUAUAAUUUUACCAAAAUUUAAACUAAUGGGUGUUUGGUCACUUAUCACCGAAUGAAUUUGAGUGUUGCUCGGUUAAAUGUGAAGUACCAAGAAUUGAAUUGGAAUACUAUUGAUAGCAAACGGGCUCUGUUGCUACCCAUUUUUUUUCGAUAAUGGAGCCUCCAAAUCAACGAUCGGCACCGUUGAAUAUGAUUUAUACCACUUGAAGUAUUUAGAAACCAAAUUUUAAAUCUUUUCGACAUCAUUGGCCUAAUGAUCAAAAGGCUUCAAAAUUUAUAAUUUUAAUGGCCGAUGUGAGGUGUUUUCUCAUUUAACGGUGUAAAGAUAUCCAAAUCAAUUGAAUUUUGGUUAGAAAAUUCUUUAAACUAUUUAGAACAAGAUCUAUACUCUCGAUCUUGAUUACAAGAUUCCUAUCAUCACUUUUUAGAGGAUAUUCAUUUUCAGCCUUUCAUUUUUGUGUCCGCUUGAUGGACAAGAGAAUGAUAUCGGUAAAGUUUGAGAUUUGAUUUCUAAAUGCUUCAAGUGGCAUAGAUCAUGUUCAACGGUACCGAUCAUCAAUUUGGAGGUUCCAUCAUCGAAAACAAAUAGGUGGCAAUGGAGCCCAUUUGCUACCGAUAGCAUUCCAACUCAACUCCAAGUACCAAAUUAAACAACAGGACUUUUUUGAAGACGGUGAAUGAAACGUGGUUGAAUAGGAUGAUGUUGACUGCAAUCCAAAUAGUGUCGAUGACGACCGAAAAAUGUGGCAACGACCAGGAACAACGAUGAUAACGUCGGAGAACGAGGAGAAGCAAGAGGCUUAGCGCGCACGCAUAAGAGAGAGAGAUAGAGAGAGAUGCGCAUGGGGGGUGAGAGAGAGAGAAGCGGCUGGGGUUGGGGGGUGUACGGAUAAGAGAAAAAUAGAGAUUUCCUAUAUUAAUUAGGUUGAAGGCCAAUUUGCACACGAAGUCCCAAAGUUUAUAAGUGUGAUGCUUCGCUUCCCGAGGGUCACCUAUCCUAAAAGUACUCUAGCUCUAGUAUGAUUAACCCUUUUAACCUCUUGGGUCUAGCCACUGCGCAACACGUUAUAGUUGGGUUAAGAAGUUUAGUUUUAUUAUAUCUUGUAUAGGACUAUUCUAAAUCCUAUUCAAAUCCUGACGCCCUUGUCAGGCUCAAGCACACUCAUAAGCAUAAGAAAAUGUAAGGCUCAUCUUGCUAGUCUUAGCCAGCCUUGUGGGGAGCGACAUCCCACCCACAACGGUUGUUAGCUAGGGAGCUACGCUCUAUCCAUUGUACGGCCAUAGCUCAGCCAAGACUCAUGUCACACUUUUGGCUGAUGAUUGGCUCUGUUAUCAAUUGUGACGCCCUGCUUCCUAUAAGGAGCACCCAUCCUAGAACUAUCUAGUUUUAGCACACUUAACCCUCUUAACCUCUUGAGUCUAACCACGGCCCAACAUUCUAUAGUCGGGUUAAGAGGUAUAGUCCUAUUAUCUCGUAUAUAGGACUAUUCUAAAUCCUGAGAGUGUUACAAUAAAUGAUGCAAAAUAAUCCAAAUUAAUUAAUAAAAUAAAAGUAUGGGGAAUUAUAUUAUCUUUGGAAUGAUAUUUUCCAAGGUUUAAAGUGCCGUGGCACGGUGGAGUGCCGUUACGUCCCUGGCACGGUACGGCACGGGCACGCUUGCGUGCCGACACGUGCCACGCUUGCGUGCUGAUAGAUACGCACAACCUCCUGCUGGCACGCUUUGGCACGGAUUUUUUUUAGUUUUUUUGAUUCCAAUAUACUCUUAUAAUUUUAUUUUGAAAGAUUUAAAUAAAUAAUUAUGAAUAUUUGCUAUAUAUAAUUUAUUAUACCGAUCAAUUAACAUGCAUGUGAGUUUUUUGUAAGUAAAGUACAACUAUACCUGAUGUAAAAUAGAAAUUAAAAUACAAUAAUAAAAUUCACAAGCAUAAUAAUUAUUUAAAUUUACAUCUUUACAUAAAGGAUGACUGCUUAAUUCCAUAUAGAUUGUUGCGCUUGAUCAUAUGGCAUAUUGUCAUCUGCUGAUACAAGAUUUAUUUGACAAUGUUGAUAUAAGUAUUGCCGUUAUUGUGAGAGAGUCAUAUAUUCCCGACAUAUGUCAUUGUAUUGUCGGAGAUAACCUGCAUAUGCAACUGGAUCGUGGAUAUAAUGGACAACAGUCAUCUGUGGCAUAUAGACUGAAGCAUUAUAAGGAUAUGGAUUGUAUGGAAUAGAAGAACCAUAAUGUGGAUAUGCAUGAGCGGACGAAGAUUCGCCGUAUGAGCUUUCACUAUGAAAUGGGAUGGAUUGGGAUCCACUCUGAGUGCCAUAAAUUGAUGAAUCAUAAUCAAAUAUUCCUCCAUAUAGGCCAUGUUGAUAUGAGAGAUGCGAUGAUAUUGAAGUACUAUCAAACUGUGUGUACAAAGUAUCAUCCCUUCGUGGAGGUCUAGUUGAUAGUGCCUCCAAACCUUCUCUCAUCUCCUCAUAAUCUUGUUGUGAGGACCUCCUAUCUUUUCGACGGUCAUAUACCACUCCGGAUGUUUGACGUGGUCGAGACCUAUGAUCAGCAUCUUGAGUGGUAUGUGUGAAGUUUUGUUCUUCAGUAAAUAUAAGACCACGGCCACCCUCACUCUCCUGUUGUGUUGGUGGAAUGAAGUCGCUACCAUCCUCACUACUAUCAGUGGUAUCAUUAUCAUCACUACAGUCAUCUUUAGACUGUGGUAAUCCAGAAUCUGCUGGUGUCGAUGUUUCACUAUCAUCAUCUUGUGGGAGUGCAUCAGCUGCAUCUAAUGGAUCCAUCGAUGUCAUACUUUUUUUACUCUUGUUAUACUUUUUUUACUCUUACCACUUCGGACUGUCGUUGAAGGCUUUUUGCGGUAUAAAACGUUUUCUCCUUUCCAGAUUGACUCUGAGUAUGGCGUGAACGACCAUAUCCAGGUCCUUGCAUAAGACGUUCGAAUUCUACAUCAGAGUCAUGUGUAGGAUUUUGGGAUUUUUCGUCCAAAGCUGUUUGUUCUUGCACAUUCCCUUGACACCUUCCUAUGUUCUCGUCAGCCCAUCUUUCAACAUUACUAAUUCCUGCUUCAUCAGCAAUUACUCUGAAUGGUCGUGGUGGAUCUCCAGGCUCAUCGAGUAAUGGGUCCUCUUGAUUGUCUCUAUCUUGUAGCCAAUCAAGUAUGGGGCUUGAUUCAUCAUUGAUAAAACUUGCAUCCAAGGGAUCAUAAGUUUUAAUUUCUUUUCCUUAUCAUACUCCUUUUGCAUGCAUUUUAAACGGAGCCUUAUAUUAUAGUGGACAUAAACUAGCUUUUCUAAUCGAGCGUACGCUAAUCGAUUACGCACUUUGGUAUGUAUUAGUGCGAACGUGCUCUAGUUGCGUUCACAUCCACUAGACGUUGUCGUUUGAGAUAAGACACACACAACAAUCUUUUUUAAAUGCUUUGCUGAUCCACCAUAUUGUAGCCAUCGCUAAGCUGUACAAUUAAAACUUAAAAAUAUAGCAAAUAAGAUUUAUCAUCAGCUGUAAACUGUCCAAAUUAUGGAGUUACUUACUGGGAUCGGUAUUGUAUCUUCCGUUAAUUGCACCCGCUUCACCAAAAGUUCUAGAGGAUUCAUGAAAUAUUUUUUCCUUUAUUAUGAUAAUAUAAUAAUUAGAAAUCAGCAUAUUAACAUCUAGCAAAUUAAUAAUACAUUGAAAAAAUAUUAUACCUCACUUAUGGCAAGAGCAGCACGUGUUGGAUCCCUCUCCAAUCUAUUGAUAACGUUUUGUAAUGCCUUCAACAGUUCAUCAUUAAAUUCAAGAUUAUAACGAUGAUGGUACGACGGAUUAAGAUAAUAAUCUAUCAUUAAGAAAGAAAUCACUCCAUUAACAAUACAAGAUUACUAAUGAACAAUCAAUAAUAAAUAGUUUUGUUAUAAUUUAUAACUGACCUGCUAGGUGUAGAUCCUUGCUCAUCUAGACGUCCCAACGUCUGUCAAUAACUUUUAGAAAAGAUUGACACCGUGGCGGAUUAAUUUUUUUAAUAUUAUCUUUAGCCAUCCUCAGUGUAUAAUAGACAUGUCCCAUUUGAGGUAUUUUUUUCCUGAUCCACUAAACGGAGGACCACAUAUAGCGGCUCCACAAUAUCAACAAUCUCUUUCACAUAAUCUCAAAACUUGGCAGACAGAAUUAUUUGCUCAAUCGAUUUUCCAUCAGCCGUAGAGGUAUAACGAGAUGUUUGCCAAUCAUCUGAUGCAAACAUGGACUUUAAUCCAUUUUUAUUUUGAAGGAUAUUGUUUAGAGCAAUAAAAUUUGUGGCAAAUCGUGUGAUACCAGGACGUACGAGUUCUCGUCAUGUGAAUUUCACCAUUAGAGCAUGGACCCAAAAAUGAUUAUACAAAUACUUAGAUACACGUUGUGCAGUAUCUAUAAUUUUUUUAACCCGAUUUAUCUCACCGAAGUCAGACAUUAUUCGGUUGAUGCAAUGCGCUGCACAAGGAGUCAAAAUAAAUGUGAAUGCCUUUGCAUUAAUAGUUUGCCAGCUUUUUUGAAAUUUGCACCAUUGUCUGACACAACUUGUAUCACACAUUUCUCACCAAUCUCACCUAAAACUUGUUCCAAUAAUGCAUAUAUAUAAUCGGUAUUUUCAAAUCGACCGGUCGCAUCGACUGAUUUGUGGAAAACCACCCUGCCAUUACAAUUGAUUAAAAAAUUUAUAAUGCUCAUUUCUGUCGGUCCUGUCCAACUAUCUCACAUCAAGGUAACACCAUACAUCUCCCAUUGUUGUUUGAAGGUUUUUACCCAUGCAUGAAUAUCAUUGACCUUCGCGUCAAGGUAUUUGCCAGAAAUCUCAUACGGCGUUGGGGGUUCAACUCCUGGACCCUCCUUUUGUAUGGUAGCGAUCAUUGAUCUAUAAUAUAGAGUAUUUGCUGCAUGGGAAGGAAUAUGAGUGAAGUGAAAAAAUUUCGCUAUUGCUCGACCAAUUUUGCUUUUUUUAAUCUUUUUUUAGCAUACUAUCUAUGCGCUGCUGUUGAGCAUCUGGGUCAGGAAAUGCCAUUGGGUCUAUAUCUAUAAUAUUUGGAUGUCUUCCGAUUUUUUCUUUUGGUCCUUUUUUAAAUCUAUUAAACAUGCGGCUAACAGAACCACUUCGAGCUAAAUCAGAUGGUGUAUAGCCAGACCCAGACCCAGACCCACCACCAGCAUCAAACUGAGGGCGUCCAAAUUGUGCUCUAUGUCGUUGGACUUCAUUUUGCUGCCAUCUUUCUUGUGCAGAUGCUUCCAUCGCAGCUCUAAUAUUAGGAUCUAAUUCAUCACCUAUACCUUCAUAUGGGUCAAUAGGGGGAUAUUCUGCCGCUCGUUUAUCUAGUUCAUCUCGACCGUCCCUUGCUUUCUUUUUUGCUAUUUUUGAAAAUUCUAAUUCAAUUUUCAUUGCAUGUUUUAUUUCCUGAGGGACUUUAGGGCAGUUUGAUACUUUAGAAAAACCCCCAGCGAUAUGUUUCUGUAGGCGAGUGACACCUCCGCCAAUUCCGACCAUAUUACAGUAAUUGCACUUCCAAUGAAAUCUAUUUCCAUCAAUCAUUUGUCCAUGUUGCCAACCAUAAUCUUCUGUUCUUUUAGGUGGUAUUAUGAUCUAUAAUUACUGACAUACAGACAACUCAAAUAAAUCUAUUUUAGAAAAAUAAAAAAAAGAACGACAGGAUAAAAAAGAAUCAUAUGUAUCAAAUUAGAAAUUUUUUUUUUUUAUUUAAAGAAAUUAUAACAGAGAAAAUUAUAGAAAAUUUUAUUUUUUUAUAAUUUUUUUUCAAAAUCUAUAUAUUGAUUUGAUUAGAAAAGCAUAUAAUGAGUAGAACAAUCAAAAUAGAACUGCAAUUACAUUCAUAAUUUUUUUCUUUUUUAUUCUUUUAAAAAAUAUUUGAUCAAAAUUCUAAGAAAAUAAAUGUUGAAAAAAUUCUUCGAAAAUCUGUUAGAAACUUAGAAUUGAUUAACUUUUAAAAUUCUUUUCAUUUUUUUUCUUUCUUUUAUUCGAAUUUUAAUAAUUUAUAAAAUAUAAUGUUAAAGAAAUAGUUUUCUGGAAAUUUUAAUUUUUAAAACUUAAGUAUCAAUUGAUUUAAUUUAGCUUCUGAUUUUAUCAAUAUUUUAAAUCUUCUAAUGCAAAAAUAAAAUUUUAAGAUUAAUGUAACUCAAAGUUUGUUUACCUUGAUUCGCCAAAAGUUUCGCGGUGUGAAAAAGUUUGAUAACAUAAUUUGUGAAAAGAAAAUAGAUGUUUGUGGUGGAUCGAAUAUAUCAAUAAAAAUUAACUCCUAUAUUUAUAAAUAAAACAAUUAAAUUAUAAUUUCUUUCACUUACCUAAUAAGCAAAUCUGCAAUAUGCAACGUCUUUGGCCCCUUUAAAUAAUUUUAGGAAGAUAUAUCGGCACUGAGAAGAAAAAAAAGAUAGAGAGUAAAGGAGAGGAUAAUCAAGAAAGAGAGGGGGAAGUUGCCUGAGAAAGAGAGAGGAAAGUUUCCUUAAGUAGACGAAGGGGGGAGGGCGAACAUGACAAAAAAAAAAAAGCAUCCGCAGUCAAAAGAAAACCACCAAAUGCAAAAAGACAAAAAAAAAAAAGAAGCAAAGAGCAUCAGAAGGAAAAGACGAGGUGGAGGAUGGGGGAGGGGGGGGGUGAUCAUGAGAAAAAAAUAGCAUCUUGGCCUUUGGGUUACCCAAAGGCCAAAACCCCCUCCAAUAAAAAGACAACCCAAAAGCAUCUCACAGUGCAAAAGAAAACCAACAACUACAAAAAGACAAAAAAAAAAAAAACCAAAAAGCAAAAGAAAAAAAAACAGCUCUUUGCGGCACGGCAUAGUAUCGCGGCACCCUCACACGUGCCGCUUUGUCUCGUGCGGCACGCGCAGGGUGCCGCGGCACACAGGGUGUCACGCCCCAAUCCCCGUCAAUUUGGUCGGGUUUAGGUCACGUCAACAGACGCCGAACGGACAGCAUCUCCUCUGUCCGCCCAAGGCUCAAACAAUAUGUAUAAUUAAACAAACAACAAAGAGAUUUUGUAAUUAUACAAGGCUUGCACGAGGGCAAGCAACAACGGAAGCGAAAGCUCUAAGCUAAAUAUACAACCAUACAUGAUAUUUGAUUACAUUUUAACCAAAUACAAGUAAACUACAACUAUUACAUUCAUUUUCCACUCAACCAUAAUUCUUUACAUUUUUGUCAUUCCCCAAAAUACAUGAUAUGUUUUCAACUUUACAAUUCUAAAUUAACAAAAUAAAAGUUGAUACAUGUAGGCAAAAGAAUGACUAAAAAUGUAUAAGUCCCGGUGGGCACUAGCUAUGGCGCAAUACCCUUGCCUCGGUCCUCCGCCGCCCCGCUCGCGCUCGGACCUGUAGAGUUCGUGGUGUGAGAACUACAACGAAGUUCCCAGUGGAUUCGUCAACCGACCUCGCCGACUUACCCAUUAGGUCUAUUCAGGCAUAAGUAUUUCAAAAGAAAGGAAAACCGUAACCAAUGCUAAUGCUAAUACUAUGCCCGUAAGAAAGAUGUCAGUGGAUAUAUAAUCAAAAAUAGAAUGCUCAUGCAUGCAUGCUUGUUCCAUAACUUUACUUUGGCUUUUACCCAAUCUUGCCGGUUAACCUUGUUAACCCUAAAACUCACCAUCAUAAUUCCUGUCUACCGGGGGAGGCUUUAGGCUCAACCACCCGAGGGUCCGUCAACGGGGUGCUUUCCCCGUGGUGUCUACACUCCGGAGUACACCGCUUGAGGAGGAGCUACCUCCCUCAAGCCUAGUUAAUGUGAGUAUCAAUCCAAUCCUCAACUUGAGGAUACAUAACCACUAGUCACAAUGCUAUUUCUAUAAUAGGUUUCUACCUAUUUCUUCGUGCCACUUUCUAAGUCAUUCUCGUCACAAUGCCACUAAUUGUUAAACCUUGUUUACGAGUCAUGUCUCGAUGCCAAUCAAGUCUCUAAUGUCAAUGUCACCUUUAUUACUAUUAUCUUGGUCCAAGUCUCACAUUCACACAAGUGUAGCGUCUCAACAUUCAUGUCCGCUAUGGCUCAAAUCAUUUUUCAUGUUCAACUACGUUAGAAGCAUAUAAAUGAAAUUAAACCAUCAUUCACAUGUGAACUACCCUAAUAUGCAUGAAUGACUCUAUAUACAAGUAUGCUUAACAAAGGUGAAAAUAGACAUAAAGGGGAAUCCGAUGAUUCCGGCGUGCAACCCCCACUUUAAAUAUUAUAGAUGGGUUGUAGUUCGACUCUCAUGAUUUUAGGACGCCUCUCCCGCGACCUAUACCCAAAAUAGUGCCGAAUUAGGCCCUAUACACAAGAUCUCUUACUUAACCUUUUCGUAACGUUAAACGGAGUUGUCCCACGCGUCGGGAAUACCCUCAAUUAGGUUUCCAAGAGGUCAAUUUACCUCGGAAACAACCGGAGGCAAAAGCCUCAAAAUCCAUGCCCUAACAAUGCCAUAUUUAAAUUUCUCCUAGAUUGAUCUCAUCUCUAAGCAAAUGAUAGCUUAGAAUCACCUAGAAAGCUCUCUAAUACUAUUACCAAGCCUCUAGAACCAUUCCUAGGGCAUCAAUUUUGGAUUCUAGCAAUCCACCAUGAGAGCACCUUGAGAAAACCAUGUUUUCAUGGUGUUCAAAGCUCUAUUACACUUCUAAAGUCUCUAAAGAGACCAAAACUCCCAAAACCUAGGGUGAAAUCCAAACCCUAGAUGGCUUUACACUAAAACUUACCUUAGCCAAGAGCUAUCUCCAAGUCCACCUUGAUGGAGAGCUCCUAGAACCACCAAAGCCACCAAAAUCCCUUCAAAUCUCCUUCUUCUCCUUCACCACCUUGCCCUAGAGUGAGAUCUCUAGAGAGAGAAAAAGAGAUAUGAGAGAAAGAGAAGGAGAGGGGUGUUUGCUGUGAAGGGGAGAGAGGUUGGGGCAAUAACAUGUUGUAACAAUUACAACUAAGCCUCCCAAAAAGUGUUAUUUACAGCAGAUCUCAAUGUUGCUGCCAGACCAAAGUGUACCGGUACACGGGAUGCUGUCACCGGUAAUACGAUUACGCAUAGGCAAACGCGAGAGCAAUUCUUGCAGGUUUUACCAAAGUGUACCGGUACACACCAGGGGUGUUACCGGUAACACAGUCAAAUUUUCUCAAACCCGAGAGCUUCUAUCUCUCGGUUUGCUGGCCUGUACCGGUUACAACUCAAUGGUUGUACUGGUACACUUUGCCCAGAAUGCAGUUUUAGUUCCGAUUCUACUCUACUUCGCGCCGGUCGAUGCUAAAACCUUUCUAACUCUUUCUAAACUUACUUUUAGCCCUUCCAACAUCAUUGGAAUGCUAAUGCAAUUUGUCCAUCCAUCUUUUUCGCAUACUUUAGUCAAUUUGGCUAAAGUUCGAUAAUUUCUUCCGAGUUUCAAUAUGUUACACAGGAGGGGUUCGAGACCCCCGCUGUACCGUGCCCCUAUCUUGGGGGCACGGUACAUGCCGCACUUGCACGGUGCGGCACGCACGAAACUUUAAACCUUGAUAUUUUCUAUAUGCUACACCAUAUUCCAAGUUUACUUAUACCUACACUUGUGAAUGCCC